Non-coding RNA from Cinara cedri, 64484 nucleotides. The record is from the annotation of a GenBank genome assembly. Lineage: Eukaryota; Metazoa; Arthropoda; Insecta; Hemiptera; Aphididae.
UAGUCGAAAAUAUUCAAAUAAAGUACCUACCGUUGGUUGAAAAAAUCCGCUUCUUUUAAUGUUAGGUAGGUAUCGCAUGAACAAUUCAUAGUAUUUUUUUUUGAAUGCAAAAGGAAACCCACACGUUUUAUAGUAAAGCUAGAAGAUACAAUCGGAAUCAAAAACGAUAGAUGGUUUUAGAACAAUAUAAUUUAUUAUAAUGUAGCGUUGCACAAACGAAUUAAACAUUGUUACGGACGUUCCGAUGUGCUCGUAAUAAUCGUUUUUCGCGUAGAAUUUGUUCGUUUUAUUUUUUUUUUCUCGGGAAUUGAACGUAAUUUAACGUGGUUAUAAAAAAUAACUGCACGCGCAAUAAAUGCGAUAAUACGCACACGUACUAAACGAAAAUUCAGUCGAAAACUGAUGAAAUUCAAUUCGAAAUCUGUUGAAUAAUGAUCGCGUUAUAAUAUAUUGUGUGUAGCAUCAUUUGAAUAAUAUAUACGCGGCGUGUGUUGAUUAAAAUCAAAUAUUUACGUGUUACAAAAGGACAAAGAGAAACAUAUUAGGAUUAGGCGCGUACAAGUAUACAUAAUAAUAAUUGUGUUUGAUUAUUCGGCAAAUAAAACAAUGUUUACAUCGAUCUAACGUUCGAAAACUGUAUAUUGUGUACUGUAUUAUAGUCAAUAGUUGUAAUAAUAAUACUAUGUACAGUUUGACGGUUCAAAUCUGUAACAUUAUAACGCACCCGCGCCGGCGCACCGAGUACACUUGGCGCCCAUGAAUCUGAACGAAUAGCGGACGCAGAUCAAAACAAAACUGCACGUCCGCGUACACGGACGGCGAGACGGAAUUUCAAUUGUACGCGCGCAACUGUUACGGUUUACACGAUGUUUUUGAACGGUGUUUGGAUAAUGCAAUAAACAACGACAAUGUCGGCGGUGUCGGUUCGGCUCGUGGUUAUAACAGAAUAGCGGGAAAAUACGCCGGUCCGUAGGAUCCUCUUGCGUUUAACAUCUUGCACUCUUUCUGCCCGGCAGUAGCGCUCGGUUGUUCCGAGGAAAUAAUGUCCGUGCACAGUUUUCGUUGUGCAAGCAAAAAAGCGUUGCAGCCAUACUCGCUUGACUAUACUGUGUCGACUUAAAGUAAAAUGUCAACGCCGUAUUUAUGUGUGACCAGGCGAAAUAAGCUUUCUUCGUCCGGAUACGACCCGACUCGUCCGACUACCACAAAUAUUACUGCGCAAUAAAUUUGUUGCGAAAUUAUAAUACGAAAUCUAGCGAUCGGCGGUACAACUGAAAUUAUCUUGUCUCGCCGGCGAAAAGGCUCGUGCCACCACUGAUUGCAUCCUUUUAUCAAAAUGCGAUAUUUCGAAAUUUACGCGUUUGUUAUAUUUACUGUUGGUACUAUUGUAUAGGUCAUAUGAAUUCACGAUUACAAUGUUUCGCUGUACACUGUUAACGUUUGAACAUUCGUGCAUUUUUCGUUAAACUUAAAUUUAACAUUUCGUAUUGAUAUUGGACACACGGUGAAUGUUAACAUACCGAUGAAUGUUACUAUUACUUGUAUAAACGUAGAAGUCAUUGAGUUAUCACUACUACAACCCGCGAAUAAACCGUUUCAGGAACGACGACGAAACCACACUAAUAACCCCAAAAUUAUUCGCGGCGUACAUUGGUAGAUUUAUUUUAUCUAAAAUUUAUAAAAUAAUGCACUUAUUAAAUGGCAUUAUGGAAAACGCGAAACGUCUAAUUUAACGUUGCACAAAUAGAUAUAUACAUAUAUAUAUAUAUAUGGGGGGGGGGGAAUAAAUAGGAAAUAAAGUUUUAUUAGCGGGAUCAGACGUAAUAUAACUGUGGUUGUGGUAUAACUUUAAUGGAUGUUUUAUAUCGCGUACACUGAAACCGUACACAUGACGGUGCCUUUGCCCCGAACGAAAUCGUGUACGAUAAUUUUUCGCGACGGUCGUCAUGCGCGUGAGUUCCGUCAAAAUUCAACACCAAUCUCCCACGCGUAGAUAGGUACAUACGUUGCAAAUUUACAUAAUAGAACCGAAUUUUGUCGACAAAACCCCUACUGUCAAAUUUCCGCGCGCUAUAAAAUACGCCCGAUAAAACGUGCGUCGGUGUCCCGCGUCUUGUUGUACGCACAUCACGACGACGCGAUCCCCACUGCCGGAUAAUUACAGUUGCUUUUAUGCGUGUACCGUGAUAAAAUGUACCGAUAGUACUUAUCUUGACCAACGAUUAUGUCCACGGGCACGCGUAAUUUUUCCAGCGAACUAUGUCGGUCCGUUUUUUAUUAGCCCCGUAGAGGAACCUCGUACCUAUACGUUGUACACAAAGUCCCCGCGGGGCCGAACGGUCCCUGCGGGACGAAUUAGACGCGGAUUUUUCGCUCCACCCCCUCUACCGAGUUUCCCUUCCCACCCCUCCCGACACCCCGUCUCGUUUCUCCAUGUUAUAUCGUUAUACCGUUCGCGCACCGCGUGCUGCACAAACGUGACUAAGAUUUUAUGGAGAUAAUUACAGCAAAACGGUUUGGUAGGUAUAUAUGUGCAUACAUUUUUUUUUUUAUUUUUUUUUUUUCCCGACCCCGAGUGUUAUUAUAACGCGAGUAUAUUAUUUUAACGGCUAAAAAACUCGCUCUGUACAAUUUUCCCUCUCGGUAUUAUAUUAAUUUUACGGUGUAUCCGCAUGGCGACUAAAUCCGUACAUUUUUUGUAACGGCGUUUCGCGAUUAUACGACAAUCGUAUAAUAUCGCAUACGCAUAAGUGAAAAUUAAAUUAUCGUCGGUCAAUUCUUUUCCGCUGUUUCUUUGUUGCGAACAAAAAAAUACGCGUAAUCGCGUGACAAAUAAUAUUACUUAAAACGAAUGUUCGUACCCGCGCAUGUACGCGUGCGGAACUAUUUCAAACAUUAUUCGUGAUUAUUAAUUAAUUGUACGAGGAUCAAAUACCUAUGUAAUUAACAUUUUUUUUUUUUUUUUUAUUAAUUGAUUUAAACAUAACUAAUAUCUGUAAUAUGAUUAAACGCAAAUAAAAAUGUUUCAUAACAUUAUGAACUCAAAGAAGAAAUUUUUUUUUCAUGCGAAUUUUCGCAAAAUAUUUUCAUAGGUACUUCGCGAGAACUCGCGUGCGUAUAAUAUUUGUAACCUAUGGAGUAUAAUGACAAAAUAGGACGGUACAGGAUAUGCUGCUGUUUUCGGAAGGAAUAAGUUGGAAUCGGGGUGCACGUCUUACUAUGUACAAUACGUUACACGAUAUUAUACGAAUUACGUUUCCAAUUGUUUAUAGUUUAUACAAUUUUUCUCAUCGCGACACUCGUGUAUUUCGUGUUUUUUUUUUUUAGCUGCAAUAAUUUAUACGUUGGCCCGAUUUGAAAUGGAUUUCUUUCUAUAAUAUAGCAAUCGUAAUAUUAUGGAAACUAUUGUGUUUUUUCGUUAUUAAAUUAUUUAUAAAUCAAUAUUAGGUAGAGGCCUAUUACGAUAAUUCGAUAUUACUGACGUGCAAUUGUUCCGAAGUAUUUAUUGAAAUUGCAGAAUUAAAUUAUUGAACAAAUCGAAUUAACUUUUAUAAAUCGAAAAUAAUAUUGACCUCGUAUUAUAUUAUUAUAAAAUGUCAGUUAUUUUAACAGCCUAUUCGGCAAUAUUUCGUGAAAUAAUUAAUACAACAAAAUUACGCUGCUGUUAUUUUAUGCCAUAGUAUUAUGCGAUAAAAUGCAGAUUUGUUUGAAUUACAGCCACAGGGCACGGCAAAAUGAUAAUAGUGUUUUAGAGGGUGCAUAUUUUUGUCCAUCAAUGGAAUAAUAUUUUUGAUAUCGCACCUUGGAGACGAUAUUAUAUUCGAAAAAAUAUCAUUUAUACUUUAAACGGCAUAAGUAUAUAUGUACUUGUUAAUUCGUUAAAGUUUAUUAUCUAAUGAGUACUUAAUACGCAAUUAUACGUAAAGAAGGUAAAAUUGGAAGAACAAAGGAUAACGGAUGGAACAUAUGCCGUAAAUCCUUAAGGAUAUAAAAAUGAAAAUUUUUAGAGAAUCGAAGAGUUUGAGUUUUGACUGAAUAUACAGCAUGGAUAGCUGCAGCCGACCAAUUGAUAGUUUGAAGACCCGUAGGAAAGAAGAACUACAAAAUAUUAUUGAUAAUAAACAAUGUUUCGUGAUUUUUGGUGAGUUUCGUCAAAAUUUUAAUGUACGGUAUUGGCUAUUCGUGAUCGAAUUUUUUCCCUUGUACAUUGCCAAGCGGUCGGCGAGAUUUCACACAAAAUUUAUUUCCUCGACUCUCACUGUCGACGACGGUGGUGAGAGAGGGGUUGUAAAAUACCGACUGCCGAGACACGCCUGACUAACCGUUAUUAUUUUGCGUACAUUUCCAUAAUAUUCGAUGUAUACUGGCUUAAACCACAAUCGUUUAAUCGUAAAUAUCAACAGACUACGAAUAGGAUACACCAGGCCAUCUUAUGAGAAGGGAGGAUCCAGUAAUGUGUCAAACCUGUAUAGAAUACCUUCACUAUCAGGUCACUAUUUACCAUCAGUAAAAGUAUUAGAUAUUAGAUAUUCGAUAUUAGAUCCAACAUUAACGUCCCAGACAACUUAUACGAAAAAAUUGUGUUUUUUUAAAAAAAUAAUAAUGUGUACAGCUCAAUUUGCACACUCUACUCUAUUGUAUGUAAACUCCUCCGAAUUAAAUAAUCUUUAUUUUUGUAAGCUUUUGUAACCUUAGUAGUAGAAGAUGUAUCACGAAUAAAAAAAAUUAUUCGACGAAUAAUAACAAAAUGCCGACAACGAAUAAUAAUAUAUUGACUAUCAUCACUGCCAUAAGGUUUUAUUUUCUCUUCGUUACGGCGGUCGAGAACUUGAUGAGUUUUUGUCGAAAUUGAAAUUUAACCCUUUCUUCUCCGUCAAGGUUUCAAAAUAUAAAUUACUAUCCGACUCGCAGAUCAAUUAAAGCCGGCCGUCUCUCCACGAAAAUAAUUAUUGUCGGAGUCGACACCCCUCAUCCAGCCGACACCCGAUAUAAUUGCAUUGCAGGUAUAUGAAACAAUAACAUCAGACGUGAUAUAUUUAUUUUAUAUAAAUAAUAUCGUUGUACAGCUGACAUCGUCUGAAAAUUAAAAAAAAUAAUAAUAAUUACAACGAUAUUUUUAUACAGGCUUGUCGUCUUUUUAUUACUUUUUUUUUUUUUACUUAAUAAAAAAUGAUCUUUAUUUAUAUCGUGAACCUUCGAUUAAGUACACAUGCAGAUUUCGAUAGUAAAUUUGAUUUGCAGGUUUUUUCAGACGUCGCCUAAUAGAAUCGUUCAGCGGUUUAUUUACUAAUACAAUAUUGGUUUUUUUGAGAUUGUGCAGUGGAGCUUAUUAACGGAAUUCAGACUGCUAAAUUCACGCAAAUCCUAAUAGCGUUUCCAUCAAAUAUUAUUUGGCAAAAAAAUGUUUAGUUCACCCGGGAGAAAAACUAAAAUAUAGUAAAUUCGAAUAAAAUACUUUAAAGAAAGUAUGAGUCGUUACGUAUAGAACUAUAUAAUACCGUAUAUUCUACUAUUGUUUAUAUGGUUGUAGUAGUGAUAUAAGUUAGAAAUUUUUAAGAAGAAAUUUCCAAAAAAAUUUUUUUUCUUUUACAUUAAUUUUGAUUUAAUGAAAAGUCAAAACCGUAAAUACUAUAUCAAAUCACGAGACAUGGAUUUUUCAUUUCUUAUCAGUGACAACUGAAAACUGAAUAACCAAAAAUGUGUUUAUUGUUUAAAUCACAGACUUUCUGAAUUUCUGGUUUCUGAUAUUUCUUAGGUUGCAGAUAAUAACAUAUUAUUAAUAGUUAUGAUAAAGCAAAAAAAAAAAAAAAAGAUAGACAUUUUAGCCAUCAAACAGAUUUAAAUAAAUAAAACUCGGGAGUGCAUGGAAACCACCAAUAUCCCUAGCAUCCCCAUAAACAUACAACUAAAAUCGUUUGAGGAUUGUACUUUCGAAAUUUUACCCUAAUACCGUAUAUUCGAAAUUAUCAUAAAUAACCCCGCAGGUUCUUGAUAAUUCUAUGACCAGUAUUUCAUUCUGUAUUAGCUAGUGUAUUCGUGAAUAUCUGUUUUCCUAACGAAUUGGAAUGUGCAUUUUUUUUUCCGACGAAUACUAUUUAAUUUACGUUAAUUACAUUUUUCCCCGUCACUUGUCAACUAUAAAAUAUAAAUAAAUUGUUGAAGAUAGUUUUUUAAAAAAAAAUAAAAAAAUAAAAAAAUAAUAUAACGGAUAAAAAUAAUAAAAUAAUAUCCGUUGCAUUUUUUUUCGGGCAUAAUAAACAAUGAAAAUAAAAAAAACUAUUUUAAGUAUGUAUGUAUACAGAAUAAUUCUCAAAACUUGUAACAACUAACACCAUCAUUCGUUUCAUGUUGAUUCGAUAAACUAUUCGAAUUAUUUUUUAACAAAACAUAUUCACUUAAUAACUCAAAGCCGUAAUAUACGCACACACAAACAUCACAACCACAAUAAUAUUAUUUACCGUGGCUAUUUAGAGUUUUACAAAAUGAAUUCUCAUGUCAGUUUUUGUUUGCAUAUAGUAUUGUUGCUAGACCUGAUUAUAAUACUUCGAUUAAGCGAUUUUAAUAACUGCACGCGUUAAAUACAUUUAAUUAUAUAAUUUCAUUGGAUCGAUAAUAUUAUAUUUACAAUUAUUUAGUAUCGGUGGAUCUUUUUUUUUUUUUUUUAUAUAUUUAGUUAUAAAGUCGAAUUGUAAAACUAUACUGAUAUAUUUGUAUAAUACAGUUAUUGUUUCUGCUUCUAAUCAUAUUAAUAUGUGUGUGCAUUAAUUUUGGUCUUAUGUUAUUAGUGUGUUUAAAUAAACAUGAAACUAUACAGAUUCAGCAUAUUAAUGAUUUGACAAAAAAAAAAAAAAAAAAAUCGUAAACGUUCAUUCUGUUUGAUUACUUUGAUUUAUGUUUCGCUGGGAAUGGGAAUAGUCGAAAAUAUCGACCGAUUAAAACUUUUAUGUACAUUGUACACAUUUUAUUAUUUUUCAUAUACUUUUUUCUUCCAUUUUAGUGAAAAUGCAAGCAAUUCAUUUUAUAAAUCUGUUCCUCUUGUCUAACGAUAUAAUAAUUAUUUUAUCAUUAAUCCGAGCUAUGGGCUUUUAUAAUAAUUAAUUAUUAGUGAAACGCAAAGCUGGACAGUAACUAGUAAAAAGUUAAGGUAUCAGUUAGUUGUUUUUUUUUCUUUAAUAGCAAUUAACUUAACUAAUUCAAAAUAUAAAAUAUUAGAAAUAAAAUUAAAUAGUACAACUUAGUUAUUAUUUUAAUAAACAAUUUUAACUUAACUCGAGACUUCGGCGGUUAUUUUCCUAAUUAAUUGAGACUUCUUCGGAUAUUCCUAAAAUUCGUUCAGAUUUUAAAACUAACUUACACUCGGCUUAGUUAUUUUGCUUUUAGCGUAACUAUUUUAACUCAAGCGGGUAAAAGAUAAUAAAUAAAUAAAAAAAAACCGGUCAACCCACCCAGGUUUGGUUAAGCACACCAUUGAUCAGUUCGUACUAUAAUAUUGGUUCUUUCGACGAGUAAAGGUGUACAUUUUACCUCUGAAAAUUAUUAUUAUUGCCUCGCUAAUUAAUUACUAUCACUAUAUCUGUUAUAUAUAUAUCUGUUAUAUUAGCAGCAUGAUAAAAAUACAAUAUUCGAGAUUGUCUCGCGUACUCUUGUGUACACACGGCGGAGCGUCCCAAGACGAUUUACUAUUAUUACAAUAUAUUGUGUGCAGACGAAGCGAAUGGUGUUUACAUUGCCCUACCCCGCACAAUAGCGAAUUAUCGUUAUCGUUACACCGUGAAUAAAUUUAUUAGGAUACCUAGACGCAUACGGGGUAAGGACUAUGGGAAUUUAUUAUGAUUUCAUUUCAAAACAAUAACGUAAUAUUAUACCUUUAAUAUAUUUAAACUCGCUAUUUUGGCACGUAUAUAUGUAUUAUAUUACAAAAUAUCUUAAAGAAAAAAAAAAAAAACUAAACACAUAUACCAUCAAUUUAUAUUAAUACGGCUUAAAAAUUAAUUUUGAAGAUUAAUUUAAUUAACAUCAAUUACUGCACGACCUUUAUUGAAGAAUACCCACUAGCAGGUUUUUGAAAAUUUAUGAAAAAAAAAAACCCAUCUUCUUUUUUACAGCCGAGAGAAAAUGUCGCUGAUUGUCUGUCUAUAUAUAAUAACUGUUCUAGUAAUUAUUGUUAUUUCUUAUCUUUAUACGGAUAGUUUUUAAAAUGUAUCUCUAGGCAAUCGCGAUGUCUUGAUGCUACCGUUUUAAACACCUGUUUGUUAAAACUUACCUUCUAAAAUUUAAAAAAAAAAAAAUUAUUCCCUUAGACAGUAUUUGAGGAUACUCUACUUCAGGUAUAUAUACAUAAUGUGUAUGUUCAUACAAGUUCAAGCAUAGCUUUAUUAUUAUUCGUAAUUGCAUUCAUUGAGCCAGUUUUAAUGAUACCCACGUGCGUAUACAUUCACGCGGAAGGACGCUGACAAACAUCACUUGACACGAAUAUUUUUGACCGUAUCUACCUGGUAUAUUUCUGUCAUAUUAUAUAUAAUAUAAUAUACUUGUAGUAGAUCUCAUACUUGAAUGGUGUGCCCACGUGAAUUAUAUUCUCCUCUCGUUUAAGUGCAACACUGCACGUCUCGAUUCGAGAUAUUAUAAUUUAUAAUAAAGUGUGUGGAGAAAAAAAGAGAGACUUAAAAAUCCAUUUGACGCGUCGUAUUAUGUACACCUAUAAUAUUAUAAUACUUUCAUAAUAUUCUUUUUUUUUUGCGAUUAAAUCACACAUUGACACCUUUUAAACGUUAACACUUUCGUGCGAUUUUUUUUUUAUAUUAUGUACGCGAUAUCGAUUGUGUAUAAUAGGUAUUGUGCUGCGGCUAGUGUUUGCGGGGAUGAAAGUGACGAUGACGACAGAGUUAAUAAUAUAAUACAUUAUAAUAUAAAAUCGCAUUCUAUCCGUGUGACGUGAGUUAUCAAACCGGAAAAUAUGUCACUCUCGGGACGGGUAACUACCUGUACAUACUUACCUACAGCCCCCCGGGAACCGCCGGAAGCUUGAUUUACACAGGGGUCAAACUAUUGCACACGUGUGCACUGUAAUGUACGCGGUAAAAACUCGACUGCAGCUACAGCGCCUUUAUGUAUUGUACGUAGAGGGUCAAAAGCUUCGCGUGAUCAAUCGUUCUGAUGCGGGGGAGCUUUGCGACUUUAAAAACCCGAAAAGCCGACACGGCAUGCACAUACACACACACACACACACAUAUAUAUAUAUACAUAGACGUUGGGUACCUACGGCACAUCACGCGAGCGUAAAUUGACUUCCCGCUCCCGUUCUCCCUCCUGUUUCUCUUACCAGUCACAACUUCCGCACCCCCUCCCCCGAUCCCACUUCAUUCAUUCGUCUUUUCGGAAUUUAUAUAAAGCCGGAACCGGCGCGGCGGCGGCGGAACAAUCCAAUUAUACAACGACUGCGAUGUAGGUGUGUUGCAGGAGGAACAAUAUACGUACCACCACCUUCUUCGCCACUUCGCCCUACAAACCACCCUGUAUAUUAUAUUUUAUUUAUAUAUAAAUACGGACACGCUACCGCACUAACGCUCCCGUCUUACUCCUCGCCCUCCGGCGGCAGUGUCUUGUUCGCGCGGUACCCGGAUUUUCGGAUGUGUUCGUAUAAUACGACUUCCGGUCUCGCGAAUGGCCCGAAAUAACGACGCCCCCGGGACGGGCGGACGGCGACCUCCAGAAGGGGAGUUUCGUUACACGUUCCGAUGCAGUUGCAAGCUUAAUGUGUGGUCAGAUUUUCGAAAUUACGUCUUUUCGACGACGGAUUUACAGAUUUUUUUCUAAACCCUCUCCUCAUACCGUCAACCGACAGAAACGUUUAUAUUUACCAGAUGUUUGAUGUUUGAAAACAACGCAAAUCUUCUUGAUUUUACGAUGAUACGGUUUUUUUUUCUUUUUUUUUUUGUCUACUAAUGUCGAUCCGAUUUUCAAGUGUGUCAUCUUUUCCGAAAGUAAAUGUCAUAUAGUUGAUAUGCCGAUAAGAUCAUUUGUUGAUUAUAAUAAUGCAGUUUUCUUAACAAUUGGGAAAAAUGUCUAAUGUACACAGAGAAAGUAUUCUAUACUUAUAUUAGUCUUGUAUAGACGUGAUAAAAUGUUCAACACAUUCUAGUCAUUUCUGAGAAAUGUAUAGGCAUUUGAUAUUUUUGAGAUCUUUAGUUUUUUUUUGGAUCAAAUUGUUUUAGCCGAAAAAAAAGUGAAUGUUAUGUAUUUGCUUAUUUAUUUAUACGCUUUUUUAAGUUAAAAUCUUCAAAACACGUUUAACCUAACUUGCUCAAAAUCGUAUAUUGUUUGAAAUUAUUUUGUUUACCUAUUGGUCGAUAAGAUAUUCUGCUAUUUUAAUUUUUCUGAUAUAUUUACGCGGAUAUUGUGUAACGAAAGUUAUACAUUUUAUUCGUGUCAAGUAUGUAUACGCCUGUUUUUUAAAACAAACGCUUUAACUAACACAACAAGCAGUUUAGCGAUAUGGUUCAAAGGAUAUACUACCCUUAUCACUAAAUCAAAAACGAGACGGUCGCGACGUUUUAAUAACAUAAAUAGUUAGAUAUAAAAUAUGGCACUCGAAUACACUUUUAUAAUAGAUAUAAAAAAAAAAAAAAAAAAUCAUGGAAGUGAAACAAAGUGGUUAUAAUAUUUUCGUUAUUUAUAAAAAAAUGUUCAUAUAAACUCUCUAAAAAUAAUUACUUUCUUCUUAUUUCCGUUCCGAGAAGAAAUUAAGUCGAUAUUUAUAUUAAAAUAUUGUUUUUGAUUUACCUACCUACGUCUUAUCAAACCUUCAACCGUUAUUACAUUUUUAAUAUAUUUUCUAACGGUAAUAUUAUUAUUUUCUAUUUUGUUAUUUAACGAAUUGUUAUAACAUAACAUUUAUAAUAUUAUGCACGUAAAAAAUGGCACCAUUUUUUUCGAUAAUUUUAAAUAUUAUUUUACUGCAUCUGGCUAUUACGUUCUGUCUACGGUAGUUAUACAGUUUUAAUACCCAGCGUUGUAUUUUAUCUACUUAAAUUAUCUAGAUAUGUUUGUUUUAGAUUCUGUGUGGAACGAGGAAUCUAUUGGUUCUACAACGAUGUUUAUUAUUAUUAUACUUUUUUCUGCCGACAUUUUCUCUACCAGAAGCAUACUCUGAUCGUCAAGUAUAGCACCUCUUCUGAAAGGAAAUGUUCUCUAGGUGGUACUUUAAAGAUGUCAUUUUUUGAAAUUCUCAUUAAAAUUUGAGAUAAUGAAGAAAAUCUGGUUAUUUGGGUUGAACAGGAUCGAAAGAUUAAAAAACAAGGAUAUCAUUAGCAAUCGUUUUCAUUUAUUUUUUGUUAUUAUUAAGUAUUUAUUAUUUUAAUCUUUUUUAAACAAUUAUUGUUGUCGUGGAAACGCACAUUGUUUUAAUCAUUUUACCGUAAUAUUAUAUAUGACCAUAUAUUGUAUUGUUGACAAAGCAACAUUAUCAACUGAACUCGGCUCAGAAUCGUUUUUUUGUUAGCAAUGGUUUAUCUUUGCUUACAUAUGUACAUUAAAUUCCCGUCUGUAGCCUACCUUCCCAACUUCCCAUCUAAAACAGUGGCUUCCACGUGCGAAGUAUGUCCGUAAACUAUCCAGGAUAAAUAAUUAUUAUUUUUUUAAAUCAUAAGCAACAUAUGUAUUAUGAAAUUCCAAUUAAAACUUUUAGGUUAUAUGUUUUAUGCACUAUAAUUUAUAAUUAUUAGUGAAAGAUAUUGACUCUAUUUUAAAAUGUAAAGAUGUGCACCAUUUACGAUAUUUGGUAGAGGUAUACUUUUAUUAGCACUUGGUUUUAUGAUAAAUUGGUAAUAACAACAAGCGAGACAAUUUCUUUUUUAUUCUAGAUAUAGUGAUGGGUUGCUAAUUAUUUAUCUGUGUAUCUAUAAUAUAGAUUAUUGAAUUCUUCUCUUUUCGAUUAUCGCUUAUAUUUAUCUAUAAAAAUAAUUUAGAUUUUGAGCAUAACGAAGAAGCCGUUCGUGUAAAUAUGAAAUGUGUUUUUUUUUUCACGGGAAACGCUUUUUUAGUAAAUAAAAAUGCUCCGAUAUUUUUCAUUUCAUACUAAAAAAGCUGCAGAUAUUUUCCCUGACAGUGUACUUAAUUUGAAAAAAAAUGUUAGAUUCUCAACAAGUCUUUCAUACAAUUUAAAAAAAUCACAGCAAUUAUCCAUGAAUUGGUUUUAUAUUUUUUGAUUUCCGGGUUACCUUUGGCUACGGGAAAAAAAGCAUCAAUAUUGCUAAUAUACUACUCCGCUCAGAAUCUUUAUCUAUAUUGCAAUUAUCCAUCGUUACAUACAGGAUAUAAACUAAAUUAGCCUGUAUAAAUUCUACAUUUCCAAUUGCCCACCUAUAACAGUGGCCUGCCACAAAAUCAUCGUUUUAAAUAACUAAACUAAUACUUAUAUUAACCGGUAGGGCACAGUCAUAUAGCCCUAUGGCUAUCUCAAGAUAUAUAUAUAUUUUUUUCUAUAAUUAUUUAAUUUAAUUUAUCUACCGACGAUUCGAAAAAAAUUCUAAACUCUAACCACGUAUGUAUAAUAAGUUAACCAAUGUUUUAGGAAUAAUUUGAUAUCGCCCAACAAAUUAAUUAAUAUAAACCUAUCGAAUUACAAAAUUGCACUGUUUAUGAACAGAAUAAAAACGAGUGGUCAUACGGCCGUGGGGUGCAGACCAUAGGCGCGGGCGACUCCAUCCGUAUAGUUAAUGAGCACUAGUAUAUUAUGUUGUUGGUGAAAUUUAUUGAAAACCGUAAAAUAAGCGCGUACGGAUUGUACCGUGUAUUAACGUAAAAGCUUCACACGAUUUUACUCCAUAAUAUAUUAUUAUUAUAGAAAUGUGCAACGUUCGUGUAAUGCAAAGACCGAUGAGUUGACAUUAAUUUCUUUUUAUUUUCCGAGAACACAAAAACUUUACGGACUCUCGCGUAUAUAAAAUAUAUAUAUUAUUACGUGUGGUUUAUAUAUAUAUAUAUAUAUAUGUAUACUAUAAAUUAUUAUAUGGAUUAUAAAACGGUUAAAUUUUCGAUCAUCCAUCAUUUCAUUAAACAAGUUGUUUCCGUUUUCUCUCUCUCUCUCUAUAUAUAUAUAUAUAUAUAACAUACUAGCGGAAUUGGGAAAAAAAAAUUUACAUAUAUAUACGGUGUUAUCCGGUUAUUCACCGCGCACCUCUUUCCGUUUAAUUACUUGGAAGUUUCGAUACAGUCACGCCGCCGCGGCCACAGUAGCCCAAUUACUUGUCAAUAUUUACAACGACAGUUUAAAAACUUCGACCUUUUGUUUAGCCCCUAUUUUAUUUUAUCAACCGACGAUACGAUGUGCGACGUCGCGUUCUUUCAUUUAUGUUUCUUCGUAAACGUUCAAAAAUUUACCUAUAUAACUUUACUGUUAUACCUAUGUGCUACUAUACUAUCCGCACGAAAACUACGGUCCUCGCGUUCGUAUUUGCGGCUGAUAAUAAUUGGAAUUUGACCGGUUAUCACGUUUAUUUCUGCACGCAACGACAAAUCAAUUCUGAUUCAAAACGAUUCUGAGUGACAAUGAUAAUAUUAUUGUUUACGCGAAUUCGCGAGCCACAGCCAUCAUAUUGCCAGGUUUCGUCGAAUCGUUAUGCAAAAUAUCAAAGAUCUGUCCUCGAAAAAUUCACAUAUUCUUAAAAAAGCUAACUUAAUCGAUAUAGAAGCUAUAUUAUUUUUCUAACGCGCGUUAUUAUUAUAUUUAUACGGUUAGUCGAAAUAAUUCGAGUGAGUGAUUCACCGUUUAACCCACUUGUCGGUAGUUUUUUUUUUUUUUUUGCGGUUUUCUUUGCGUCAAACUGCUGAGAAAUUUAAAAACUAUUUAGCUACCCACUAAUAUAGCGAUACUUUACAAAAUGUUUUUCAAAAAUGUAAACAACCCGGGAAGGAUAUAACACGCAGUUGUCGACAAGUGAAACUAAAUGGGCAACGACUCUUACGUAUAGUUCCCAUACUCAGCAUAGCAAAUCUACAAUAUCACAAAAAAAAAAGACUGAUAUACUUCGCACGAUGGCUAGUUCACUAUUGUAGGUGAGACGUUGAGAAAGUAGGAUAUAGAGGACAAUUCAAUGAAUAUAUAUAUACGCAAAAAAAUAAAGAUUCCUAACAUAAAACGAUUCUGAGCGGAGUUUGGUUUUAUUCGUUUUGAAAAUCUGUAAUAUUAACGAUUUUCGUUAAAAUUUGUUAUUCAAAAUUCUUAUAAAAAAUAAUUCUACAUUAAGUUAGUUUUUUUUUUUUUACUACAGAGUACGACUUAUAAAUGCUCCUGUUAAAUUUUCAAGCAUUACUGUUUGACCUAACAAUUUUAUCCACAGAGUAGCUACCGAAUAAAAACUAUGUAAAAAACUCGUAAAAUUAAAAUUUCUAUAAAUAGCUCCAAAAUUACUCAAAUUUUGCUACGUCUAGAAAAAGCAAAUAUAAGUUUUCUUUCAAGUUUCAUAUUUUUAACUGAAUCGCAACAAAAAACAAAAUUGAAAAUAAUACAUUUCGUAAAUUGUUCCGUUUUUUCUCAGUUUUUCUUAAUUGUUUUGAAAACCGCUUGAAAAAUCAACAAAUGGCCUUCUUGAUGUACCACUUAAGUCAAAUUUAUUUUCAGAAAAGGUACUAUACUUGAAAAUCGCAGCAAGAUUUAUGGUAGAAAAGAUGUUUACAGUCUAAAAAUAAAUAGACAUCAUUGUAAAAACAAGACAUUCCUCGCUUAGCUCAGUAUCUACAAUAACAACAUCAAAACAUAUUAUUAUUGUUGGACGUAAUGACGAUUGUAUUACAAGAACCUAUUUUAAAUGCUGGACAAAGAUAGUUUUCAUUGCCGGACGGGACCGCGGGCUGCACAUCGAUCGCCGGUGUACGGUAUGUCGUAUAGGUAAUAAUUAGCUCGGCAGAGAAGACAAUAAUGCAAUGUAUAAUAAAAUAUAAGGAGAACAAAGAGAAAAAAAAAGAACGCUACCGGACACAAUGACGUAGGAAUGUGUUUUGAAUAAUUCGGUAGCGGGCGGUGAUGGCGUUCGAAUGCAUAGAAGACCAAUAUAUUAUAAUUUUUUUUUUUCUACUUCACUCCGAAGGCUGCAAUUUAAUUAUAUGAUAUGUCUUGCACAUGCAUCGGAUCCGAGUUAUAAACGAUGGACAUAAUAUCAUUUCUAUAUUGAUAUAGUUUGUAGACUGUAGACACGUAAUAAUCAUGUUUUUCCGUCGGAAAAAAAAGAUCUUUUAAAAGGAAAAACGGCUGGUACUGCAAUUGGUGGAAAGUUGGAACGGUGGAUAUUAAGGAUUAAUUUAAUUUAUCUGUACACAAAAAAUAAACCAUUGUUAACGAAAAAUGGUUCUGAGCAGAAUAUUAUUCAUUUGCCAAUAGGUAUCCCAGAAAUCAAUAAAAACUUUACACUAAAAAUGCCAGUUUUUCAUAUCAAGGAAACUAUGUAGAAUUUCAAAAAAUUACUUCUUUAACGCAUCCCUUAAUUAAUAUAUUCUACAAAAACGUUCUUAUACAUUUUUAACACAUUUUUAACAAGAGGAAUAAAAGAAUAAACACAUCAUAGUAAAACCAAUACAUUUCUCGCUCCGCUCAGAAUCUAAUUAUUAUGCUAAAAUAGUAAAAUUAUAAAUUAUAGAACAAAAAAUACGUGAAAAAAAAGAUUUUCGUGUUGUGAUAUCAUAAUUUGUUUUAGUAAACAAGAUUUCUUUGAAAUUUCAAUUUAUUUAAAUGUUCAUAAUAAAAAUAAAAAAUAAACCAUGCCUUUUUAAACAUCUAUACCGUCUUAAAUUAUUAAUUUAGGAUCGAUCGGUUUUUUUUUUUUCACUAUACAGUUUCCCGUCAUUUUCCCAAAUCUGCUGUCUAUUAAAUUAUCAAUCACGAGUUUACUGAUCUUCUUCGAUUUAAUUAUAUUAACAUAAUUUGCCAACAAUACAUUAUGAAAAUAUGUUAGAAAUUUAAUUGCAUCCGUUAUAAUAAAAUAAUUUUGAAGCAACAGUUUAUAUUAUUAAUAAAUGGUAAUUAUUACUAUUAUAUAUAUAUAAUUUUUUUCUUUUUGAGAUUUUGAGCGCAGCGAUAAAUGUAUUGGUUUUGCUGUUGUCUUUCAAACCACUAAAUUUGUUUCUAGUUGAUGUAAUGAGAUGAUCAUUUUUUGAUUUUUCUUGUAAUUUUCUUAACUGAAUUUCCGAAGAAACCCGAUUAAAUCGCUUAAAAAUUUAAUACUAAGUUCAUCAUAAGUAGAACUCGGAUGUUUAUGGCUACAUAUUUUUUCAGCGAAGUCAGAAUUAUACCCGAAUAUGAUAUAAAUUCGAUUCAUGAAAUCUAGAUUUCAAAUAUUCAAACUUAUUUUACAUAUAUUGAUUAUUCCUAGAUUUAGAAGCAUAUUUUAAACAAUUUUAAAUAUUAUAUUAUAAAUCUUUACGGUAACUAUUAACCACGCAAAGUAUUUGAUCUAUGCAACAUUUAAAUGUUUUAAUUAUUUUAUUAUUUUAUUUUUAAUCAUUUAUAUUUUUUAUAUUAACCUAUUUUUUUUUUGUAAAACUGUUUAUUAAAAUUUUUAAUAAAUUGAUAUAUUUAAUGCAUGCACGAUUAAAGGUGUAUACAAUUUAUUUUAAAUUAAUAUUAAAAUAUUGUUUCGCAUAUAUUUGAUGAAAAACUGGUACGUAUAUUUGAUACAUUAUUCUGUUGAAAAUAAAUAAUAAGGAAUAAUUGCAUAUUUUGAAAUUUUUAAAUGCAUAUUUUAAAGAAAAAUAUUAACAUUCGAGUUUUAAUCAUAAGUAUUUUUUUGUAAUCAAUUUUGUGUCAAUGAAUCGUGUAGUUUCGUCGUUCAUCGAUCGGAUUUUGAUCCUUUGUCGUCGUCACAGCAAUUGAAUAAUGUCACCAUUAACGGUGGUGAUCGAUUAGUCGAAUAAUAUAUACGCGUAUACAUACAAAAUGUUGUUGGCAGCUGACAAUCGUUGGGCGGCCGACAGGGUAGACGGUGUUGGGGAGAAUCUAGAGGGGAGGUGAACGGCUGACGAGAGAGAGAGCCAAAAGCAGAGGGCCAGAGUAUCGGGAGCUCUGGAGAGAGACCCAAAAGAGAGAGAGAGCUACGAAUACAUAAAAGCGUCGUCGAGAUGAUUCGACGGCAACGCCCGGAGGAUUACAUCUGGUCCGGAGGUUUCAUAUGGAGUAUAGAAUAUUAUUAUUAUAAUAAAUCCAUUGACGAGUGAUGAUGAGGCGACUGUGUGAAUCUCGUAAUGUCGUAUUAUAUACAGGGCGGUCCGGUAGUAAAUAAUAAACAGACCGGAACCGGUCCCGUAUACGUAUUCUUCGAACGUCGACUUUGCAAUUAAUAAGUUGAAAUGAAAGAAAACAAAGUUAAAACUGUUCAAACAAUGUGACUUGUAGUAAGUGAUCGUGCUUUUGUUUUGCCAAAAUUAUCCAUACGCUUUAUAGCCUCGAUAUUUAUUCUCCUCUUUUGACAUUUUGUUAUCUGCAGUAAUGUUUUAAUUCUGAUUAUAAUUAUUUCAAUCUAAACUCCGCAAUUUAUUUAAAAAAUAAUUCUAAAUAUACCGUAAUUUCGCUAUAUUUCCGCCGUCGUUAUACUCGUUAUUUUUUUUUUUAAAAAAAAGACAUUCCUACGAUGACGGUCUUAAUAAUUUUUCCGCCUUUAUUACUGAAUCAUUCGUUUUAAUUAAAAUGAAUGUUUAUUUAAAAUAAAUUUGUAUUCAUAUUUUAAUAUUUCAGGGAGAAAAUUAUUAAUAUUUUUUCAAAAAAAAAAACAAAAACCAACUGGUUAACUUAAUAUGGUAUUAUAAUUUAUUUAUUUUUCGCUGCUGCUGCUACAAAAAAAAAAUUAAACCAUAUAAUCAUUCAGUACAGUUUACUUUAUAUGUGCUUUAUAUCUGAAAAACUGGAAGCACUUUCUUUAGCUUUCCAAUGGGUAUAGAACUUUAAUCUUCAAUCCAUAUAACUACUUUGAAAAUUGUAUGUUUCUAAUUCCAAUGGUUUGAUCUGUGCGUUAAUUCUCUAUCAGUCAGUCGGAAGUUAAGAACAAAGCUACUUAACUAUCUCUGUUUCUCUAUUGUAUAUUUAUAUAAAAAGUGAGGGAGAGAGAAAAUAAAUAAUAUAAUAUAUGGUACAUAAGCAGUUGUCCGUCCGUCCGUCCAUUAAGUUGAUUUACCAUAACAAUCAAAUAUAUGACGGACAAUGGACAUAUUUAUUUACCAUGGAAACCAAAUGUAAAAUCCACUAUAGCCCGUCAAAUACACUAUAAUUACGAUAUUAAUUCACUAGGAGCGCCAACGAAAAUAAUAUGUGAAGAGCAGUGGCCAUUUUUUCAUAGCUUUCAUUUGUGUGAUUAUCACAAACCGCCAGCGAAUGUCUAUAGAUUAUUUAAACACGGAUGGGUAAUAUAUAUGGAAUUCAUAAUAAUAACACAUUAAAAAAAAAAAAAGAUACAAAAUUUACUUCAAACCGUCUCCAAUUAGCGGUUAUCUUCGUCGGUUUACUUCAAAAGAAUCAGCCUGUACAUAUGAUACGGGCACUGUGACGACCGGACCAGACAAAUCCCGCACUACCUGCGUCCAGCAGAGUUAAUUAAAUCGGCCUGAACGGUGGCGAGUGAUCCUAUGUAUAUAUAUUACAGAUCUAUAUUAUUACUGUGGCUUCGGCCUUUGUUAAAAGUCGCGUACAAUAACGAGUCCCGAAGGUUAUAUAAUAUACUGCCAGACGGCAGACACAAUCCGAGUAAUGGAUAAGUUGUAUAUCCUCCAGUAUCCAUAACAAUAAUAGUAUAAUAAUAGUGUUUUCUAUAUAAAGUACACUGCUGCACAAAGAAACCCAUUCCCCCCCCCACACCCGUUCAAUGAGACUGCACCGAUCGGCACUAUCACUCGUGGAAUGAAAAAUGAUUUAUUUUUAUCUAUUUUUUUUUUCUUGCUUUUACGUAAUCUCCUCGGAAUUCUUCUAUUCGAAACGAUGCGACGUCAACGUACACUUUGAAGCAGUGAAGAAAACACAAAGCAGUGUGGGUAUCGAUCAGUCCGAAUAAGUGUUAACGCAUCAUACGAUACCAUGUCGGAUACUGCCUGAUGGAAAUUUCCUUAGAACCAGUAUUAGGUACAACAAACUGGAAAAUGAGCAAAACAAAUCUUAAAUGAUAUUGUUAAAAUACUGUAAAAAUGAAUUAACCAUGUUCAAGGCCGUAGCUAAACAAAAUUUUCUGGAGGAGUUUUAAAUUAUUAUAUUUGAUGAAAAUAAUGAACAAUACUUUUGGAAAAAAUCAAAACCACCACAUGAACAACAAUAAUUUAGCAGGUUUUUUUCAGGGGUGAGGGAAAUAUCAAAGGAUUGAUAAAAUAUUAGGGUUCUCUUUUUUCGGUGUUCAAAUAUAUUUUUACUAUAAUUAAUAAUAAAUCCGUUUCACGUGAAUUUCAAUUAAAUGCAAUAUUAAAUAUUUGAUUUUACAUAUAAUAUUUGCAUAUUUCACAAUUAUUUCUAUUUGAUGUGAACAGGUGUGCAUUUUUUUAGUUGGCAAGUUGGAAAGGUUACAUAGAAGUAUUUAAUUUCUAUAAAUUUAAUAUUAAAUAAAAAAUUAUAUGGGGACGAAUAAACCUUACAUAAUUUACCAAUAGGGUGUUACUAGCUGUUUCCUAUGGUAUUUUUGCCGUGAUUGAUCCCAAUUAUUCCCGUCAUUCCAGUACCUCUAUGGAUCAUAGACAUCGAAAUCCAUUUGAAAUUUUAAAAAAAAAACAUAAUGCACAUGGCAGUUCGGAUGUUACUAAGACAAUUCCUUUUAUUUUUCUUUCGUGACUUGUAAAGGAUCUUAAUCUCUAAACGGUUAGUUUAAAAUAAUUGUUGGGUUAUUGAUUUCAUCAAAAGGUCCGGGUUAUACGAGAGUUGUAAUACCCACAGGAAAUUUUAAUUUUUUUUUUUUGAAACUUGAGAUAUUCGUUAAAACCUAUCGUUUUCUAUAUAUUAUUAUUUUGUACGGAAUAUAAUUAUUAUUUAGCGUAUUGUCACUCACGACGAUGAAAAGCGAAAAUGAUUGUUUCAAUUCCCAUUCGUGACAUGUUUUUUAAAAAACAUAUUUAUUAUACUAUCGUUGCACAGAGCACGUAUUAUUCACAGUAAAAAUACCAAUGGGAGAAAAAAUUACGUCGCCAGACUUGCGUGGAUUUUUCUCUUCUCGUCCCGCCCUACGUGCAUAUAUGUGUAUAUACAUUUUUUUUUUUUUUUGUAUUGUAUGUAUAAUAUAGCGCGAUAUAUUUUCAGUUAUUUAGUAUUUUUAUUGUAUAAUAUAUUGUUUAAGCGCGAUGAUGAAAACAAAAAAAAUAGUGUAAUAAAUUAAAAAACGAAUAUAACAACAAUAAAUUACGAGGAAAAAAAUAAAAUUACAUUGAAUCAAUAUGUACCCCGCCGAUUCUUCGGUAUAUAUAUAUAUAUAGGUAUAGGACUACUAUAUAUAGGUGUACCGAGCGAUAAACCGUGGCGGAUGGGUGACCGAAGGGAGGGGCCGUUAGGGGAGGAAACCGGAGGUUGGCUGAGCCCCCGUAAAUUACGGGUGGCGCGGACGACAGUGUGUAGGCUGCUGGCAAUCAAUCUCGGCGAAAUAAUCGGUUCUGUCUGUAAGGUAAUUGAAGUAAGCCGCGAGACGGAGAGAGCGGAAGCGGCGGAGCGAUAGGAAAAAAUUACCGAGUUUUUCCGUUUUGACGCGAAAACCCGCGGAGACGCGGGUUCGAUUUAUUUCGGUGCAUAAUUCUUGAAAAUAAAAACACUGCGCCGCAACCGUCAAUUUUAUAGCGCGGCCGAAGACCAUAAAUUGUGUGUCGUGCGGAAAAGAAAAUAAGGGUAGGUAGGUAUAUGGCUAGGUAUAGGUACCUACCUGUAAAUAAAUCACAUAUUUUUUAUACCGCGGGACGUUUUAAAAAUAUAGGUAAAAUAAAAUAGGUAUAUUUUUCGAUAAUUUCUAGUAGUUUCAAUUUUCCGCUAACCGUCACGCCGCGUCGGGUAUCUAUAAUAACGUUAUAAAUAUCUAACGUACACCGUAUAUUUUUUUUAAAUUUUAAACCGCAAACUUGAGAGUGGACCGUUUUCGCAUAUUUUAUCUUUUAAUCACAUUGUUUAUUCGGAUAAAAACGAUACAAAUACAAAAGCGUCUCGGGCGCCAAAGCUUUUACAAAUCUUUCGAUAAUUUACAGUUCAAAUGCAUUAUGUAAGUUUGGUAGAGUCGAGGAUAUGCUGUUUGUCGCUACCAUUUCUUUGCCAUUCCUUCUUGACCUGUUCCGCGUAAUCAUUGGUUACGUUUUAGUUUUCCUGAUUCACUAGCACGUUUGAAACGAUUAAUUCUGCAGGUAAUAUACUUGCGCAAUACUAUACUCCACGGUGCACGUAAUCUUCAGCUAUUGAUCAUAGAAAAGGAAGGAAGAUUUGUUCCGCAUCAUCAUGCUCAUGUCCACAACCAAUAAUAAUACAUCGUAGAUGAUCCGCUUUCUUAAACCAAUGCAACUAUGCAGGGAAACACCCGGAAAUUAAAGUUGUUUUAUAAAUGGGUUGAAGUGAUAAAGUUUGGGUUAAAUUCAAACAUGAAUUUAAUUGUAGCUUUACUGGAAGACAGUGUUUUUUAGCAUAUAUAAGAAUUUGUCUAACGGGGAUUUCGACUUUCAAGCCCCCCCCCCCACCCCACCCAUAGCAUUUGUAUGCUCAAUUUUUUUCAUUAUUUAUUUUUUUGUAAGUAGUAUAAUAUAGCAAAAAAUACUGAAUAAUAUGAUCAUUAGGUACAAUCAUCGACAUUUUGGUGACAUUUUUCAUAAGCGAGAUUGUAUUAGUGACUGCCUAAUCAUGUCCCUUAAAAGUAUACACAAACAAUCAGUAUUUAUAAUAUUAAUAUUGAAUGUACAAUAUAACUGUUUGUAUUAAAAAUAUUUCUUCUUGUGCAACGACAACUUGACACCACAUAAACUUUACAAUUUACCAUGGUAAAAAAUGAAAAAGUUUAAUUAUUUUAAAACUGUAAUAAAUGUGGGUGUUUUAUAAUAAUAUGGAUUGAAUCAAUAUAAUCUAUAACACUUAUGUUAUUCUACUUCAUCCCAAAAAAUAUAUUGCUCAGUUUUUAUGUAAUUUGAUUCCAUUAUUAUUUUAGGCACCUACGCAUUUGCCUUUUGGGAAACUUUAAAUAUCGGUCGGAGUUAUUGUUGCCCCUCACUUAAAAAUGUGUAGGCAAUAUUGUAUAUAAUUAAGGGAGACGGCACGCCGUUGUGAAUGUCUCCACCUAAAAUGCAUUGAGUGCUCUGCAUUUUCAUACACAGUAUUUGAGUACAGAAUUGUAUUAUUGUACAAUAGUAUUUGGUUAUCAAUAUUGUUUUGCAAACAAUAUUUCUGUAAUAUAAAACAAACUGGCGGGGGAUAGUUCGAAUCUAAUAGAAUAGGAGCUCUGCUGCUGGUGGGCCGUAUUUUAUUUUUUUAAAGGCAAAGUGUUCGGGAAUAAUUAUCAAUCCCGGCUUUUCGCAAGCUCAAUGUUGUAUAUGCAUUCGAUUAGGCGUAUUAUACGUUCCUACAUGAUGGAGAAUAAUGUCUUACAUCGUUGCAGCGUUUCUACAGCCUACUGCGACACUUGCGGAUUAUUCCAUUAACGGGUAUAAUAUUAUGAGGGAAAUACGUAAAUUACACCGCUCGGUAUCGAAUUUGAAAAUAAUUCUCAUCGGAUCUAGGCAUAUUAUGUAGAGCGUUUGAAUUUCCAUUACCAGUCCGCGUCGGCGGCUUCUCUCUAUAUAAUAAUAAUAUCAUACGCGGAUAAUUAUACAUCGGGAUAUUAUGCAUUGAUAGCGAUUCGCCGCGCGUUUUAAACCACACAGGAGAGAAUUUGAACAGAUUCGGUUGCGGUUAAUUCGAUGCUUACGGAUCGAUUAGGGGAUAUUAUAGUUUUAGUUGUGUACCCGUCAUUCGUGACGCGUUAUAACCAUCAUUGAAAUGUUUAAAAAAUGACUGGUCGUGAUAAAUCUAAGGACUGCAAACGAUAACGGCGAAAUCUUUUUUUACACACUAAAAAAUUAAAUCAAAUCAAACGUUUUAACCAGACACGGGUUGUAAUCCGGAUAAAGUAUUCGGAAUGUUUUAUAUAACAAUUUUUUCGAGAGUUUUUAAUAUUGUAUUAUGAAUAGAUUAAAAAGUAUUUCAUUCCUUAGAAAAAAAAAAAAAAAUUAUUUUUAUUUAUCUCGUUUUAGACUUUAUUGUUUUACUAUAAGAUGUGUGAUUUUAUUUUUUUCGGAAAACAUACUUUUUCGAGUUAAUAAAAAUAAUCCAAUUUUUUCAUACGUUACUCAAAAAGACUUGAAAUUUCCACUGGCUGGUUUGAACUCACUUGAUUAAAAAUAUUUUUUAAAACGUUCAACAGUUCGCCCCUUUUUGACCUAGACGCUUUAUUUUUAGGUUUUUCGUCGGAAAGCACUUAUUUUCAACAUUUAUACCCGCUAGAACAACACUUAGAUCUAACACUAAUAAGUCGGUGCAUAUUCUGUAUUUUAAUUAAAAUUUUAACUUAAAGCGCUCAUAAAGAAAUUACUACGUUAAACUUUUUCCCCCCACUAAUUAUAACUUAUCCAAACAAUAUUUUAACCACGUAAAACUAAAUAAAAACUUAAACAUCUCGAACAUUUCAAAUAGAAAUAACCGAAAAAUUUCAGUACAAAAACUGUAAGUCGACAUAUCGAUGGGCUGAAAAAUAUAAAUGAUAUAAAAUCGUCAAACUAUUUGAUAUAAGUUGACUGUAAUAACCGAUAAAUUCUUGAUUUUUAUUUAUAAUUUCGGAAACUGGGUGCACUAUGACACAAAGAUUUAAUUAUUAAAAAAAAAUGUAUGUGGGACGUUGGUACAUAUGUGUACAUAUUUUUGAUUGAAAAAAUGUUAUACCCGCAUGCGUUUUCUGUCAUUCUAAUGUACGGAAUAACAAACGUUACUAUUAGAACAUAAUUUGUGGCGCUUAUAUUGGAAUUGGAGUUUUAUUACAAAUAACACAAUUUAGAGAAAAUUAAAUAUAUUUAAAUACUGCAAAAAUUAACAUAGAAGAAACUAUUUUUUGUUCAACAACUUUUUAGAAAAAAAAUAUACGUAUACAGCCCUAACAACUAAUCGCAUCUUUAAAUUUUGUAAUUUGUGUUUAAAUUUCAAUUUAAACCUAUAUAUUAAAGUAAUACAGAAAGAUCUGGCACUAAUGUUAUUCGAAUUCUAAUAACUCUGUCAAUAUUCAUUUUUUUCCAUCGGGUUUUGUGUCACACAAAUACAAAGACAAAUUCAAUUUGUCUCUAAAUUAUUGAAAAACAUUUUUUUUUUAUUUUUUUACUUUAAGAUUUGCCAAAAAGCUAAUUUGUAAUAUAUAUUACUCUAAAACUGGCAAUGUAAACAUUCAUAUUUGAUCAAUAAUAUAUUAACAAAAGCCGCUUUAAUAUCUGGAAAAAGGUGUGAAAAACAAGGCUACCACAUUACGCUACGCGAAUCAUAGUCGUAAAUCGUAAUAUAAGAUAAUAAAUCUGUUAAAAUAUAAGAUUUUUUACAAUAAGUGAGUUUUAAUUAGAAAUUGAAACGGCUAUGAUUUAAAAACUAUUAAUCGGAUAUGAAUGGAUAUAAUUCAGUCACAUUUUUAGAAUAAUAUAUUUUACAAAAUGGUUAUUUUGAAAAUUUAAAAAAAGUGAAAAAAAUAUGUAUAAAAAUAUUUUUUUUUUCAGUGAAUAAGGGAUGAAAAUAAAAAUUUAGUUUUUCGCUACAUGUGUGUGCCCAAAAUCCGAUUGGAAAAAAAAUUAAAAAAAAAAAAAAAAAAUGAAUACUAAGCAUAUGUAUAACAUUACCGCGCGUAUAAGAGUAUAUUAUGCUAUUAAUCGAAAACAGUGAGCAUUAAAUGCAGUAUGUCAGUGUAUAAUAAUAUUGUCAAUCGCGAUGGUUAUAUUCACGAAUAUUCGCGAAAAUUGGCUUUUCGAAUCAUUUCGUUGAGACAAUUGAUUUUUAAACGCUAUUAUCUUUAAUAAUACGUACGACGCUGUGACGGUUAAUAAACGCAUUAUCCGCCCGUGUGGACGUCGAGUGAAAUUAUUAACGGACGGUAUAUUAAUUGGAUGGGAAUUAUAUCGAAUAUGACGGAUAUAUUAAGGCGUAUUAAUUAUAUAAUACUAUUCAGCUGUAACGUCUUUAAUGAAAUUUAUUGACCAUAUCGCGGUUUUCUGUUGUACCUGUAUUAUAUUGAUUUAUUAAUCGCUAUAACAAUUAAUCAAUUAAUUGUUUUCGGAAAUUAUUCCGAACGGUGGUUCUGAAUUCUAAUUGUAGACAUUCGUCAUUAUAGAUAUUACCGGGCGGGACCGUCCCAUCUCUCCAAAAAAUAACCGUAUAUUUAGUUCGAAUUACUUUUCGGGCUAAAAAAAAAAAACGGACAUACUUUGCACUUGGGUACAGUCGCUAUUAUAAGUGAAAAGUUGAAUAGGCAUGAAACAAAAGCGAAUUUAAUGUACAUGUGUAAGCAACGACAAACCAAUGCUAACGAUUCUGAGCGGAGUUCAGUUGAUAGUGAUGAUUAAGUAUAGAAUAAGGAAAUAUAAAAUAAAGAUUUAUAGUGGAAAGAAUGUAUUGAAAUCGGAAUUUAUUUUACUUUAAUGUGGCUCGGUUUAUAGUAUUGCUUUUUCAACAAUGUGCGUUUCCAUGACAACAAUGAUUGUUUAAAAGAGAUUAAAAUAAUAAAAACUUAAUAAUAACAAAAAAAUAACAAUAAAAACGGUUGUCAAUGACAACCCUAUUUUUAAUCUUUCAAUCUAAAGAAUCAGGUUUUUCUCAUUAUCUCGAAUAUAAAUGAAAAUUUCAAAAAAUGACCUCUCUAUAGUACCAUCUAGAGGAUAUUUCCUUUCAGAAAUGUUAUUAUAUACUUGAUAAUCGGAGUAAACUUUCUGGUAGAAAAAGGGUCCAGAUAAAAAAAAAAUAAACAUCAUUGUAAAACUAAUACAUUCCUUGCUCCCCUUAGGAUCUAAAAAAAAAUAUAUAAAAAUAAAAUAUCCUAAUAAAUUUUUUCGGGUACCAACUGUCUUAACUGAUGCAUAUUAAUAAAAAUUAUCCUUAAAGAAUUUCGCCAAAAUUCUGCUAAAUAAAAAUUAAUUAAUUGACAAAAAACAAUAAAUAUUACGUUUAACUUUUUAUUUCUGAUUAAUAUCCAGUUUUUGGUUUAAAUAUAAAAUUUAUAUUUACACUUAAAAAUGUCCAGAAGAAUGUUUUUGGCCAGACUUAAAAAGAAUUAAAAAAUCGACAAGUCAUAUAAGUUGUUAAUAUAUAAUAUAAUAUUAUUCUACUUCUAAGAAAAAAAAAAAAAACGACCUUACGAACUCAACACAAACAAACCGCUACCUCGAAACUCGUUUGUAGCCGAGAGUGAUGUUCUCCAAUAGCUCGUAUACCGAAUCGCGAGUGUAUUACUAUUCGGGAAAUAUCCGGGAUUAAUUAUCCUUAACAUUGUAAUCCUGAAAAUAUAUCCGACAGUGCGAUAAUAUAUCGCAUCCUUUAUCUGCGACUAGCUGCCAGAUUAAACGACGCGUAGGUUUAAUAUAUUGCUAUAUAAAAUCCAUUCGAUUUGCGUUAUUUUGGACUUUUCGUUGUUAUUAUUAUUAUUAGUAUUAUAGUACGUACCCGACUCGAUCCAAUAAUACCGUAACGUCGAUUGUAUUUUAAUGUCUAAACUGUUUUUUUCUGGUUUUUGCAAUAUACCCUACGAGUUAUAAAUAAAAGUUUUUCUUCUUUUUUUAAAUUUCGAGUGCAAUUAAAAGAUUGAAUUAUAGAAACGUGCAUCUUUUAGAUGUUAUGCAACUUGGUAUACUAUUUUGGUUUUUGUCAAUUUUCAAACAUUACAAUAAUAUAUUCAGUCGGACAAUAAUAAAUAAUUCCCAACCUAACCUAACCGAGUAUAAUAAUAUUUUAUAAGGUUAAUUGUUAUUAAUACACGUACUAUCGGUGAAACAACAUUAAUUAGCUAAUUAAUAAUACUUAUCGAAAACGAGUAAAUGGAAAAUUCACUAUUAAUAAUUGUCAAAUAUUUUAUUUUGACUAUGUUAUACUUAUACUCACUUGAUUGAAAAUAGUUAAUAUUUUGUCAAAGUUACCAUCAACAAUACAAAAAAAACGACCGUGGUAUAUAAAUGUAAAACUUUAAAUAUCGUAAACAACAUGUUUAGACAUGGGAACGUAAGUAGAUACAAUUGGCUGGUACCUACCUACAUUUUCGACAUAUUCAAAAUAAAUUCUUCUCGGUCGGUCGCGUACCAGAACAUGGUCGAAUCUUUGGAAAAUUUAACCGCGUCUAUAAAAUAUUACGUAAUAACUAUUGUAAUAAAUAAUAAUUAUAUCAUGUGAACACUUCAAGUAUCUCGCGCAUACCUAUGCCUACUUAAAUACAAUUUCUUGAAAUUCCAACGAAACAGAAUUCGUUAAAAUAUCGCGCGUACAAACUUUACCGGGUUUUUGCAUACUUUUGCGAUGUAGUUCGAAUACCAACAAAAAUCACCUCUUGUAAAGAAAAUAACGUUUCCCGAGCAUAUUAUUAUUUUGUAUACUGUACUCUCAAUAGUAGAGUUUUACGACGGAAAACCUACAUAUAAAUAAAAUAUCAUUGUUAACGAAAAUCAAUUUUUUAUAAAAUUAUGAACUUAAUAUGGUUAUGGAAUAAUAUUAAUUGCUAAAUAGUCACACCUGACUUUUCGCCGUAUAGUACAAUUAAUUAUGCACCUAGUGAUAAAUUUAACAAAUCAAUUUUGUCUGCUUAUUAAAAUCAAAUUUAAACUAAAAACCUCGACAGUUUAUAAUGGCUAUAAAUAGUUUAAAAAUCACAAAAAUAUUCUGAAAAUUUUUCCACGGCUUGAAAGUUCUAAUAUAAGUAUUCCGUUAUUUCAGGUCUUCCUGUUUAUUUUUAACCAAAUUACAUACAAAAAAAAACAACACAAACGCAAUAUUGUGAACCCCCCCCCCUCCCGAAUCAUAAAACUAUUCCUGUAGUAUACCAACAGCAGUUUUUCGGAAUGAGAUGGAAAAAACAGUUAUAUAGGGUUUCCCUUUUUUUUUUUUUAUGUGAAAUAGAUUUAGUUCGAAAAAAAAUUAGCGUACUGUUCACGUAAAACCCGUUAUCGAGGUUGUACGGGCCAAAUCGUUCAAUUAUCGACUGUAUAUAUUAUACGUAUGUAUAUAUAUUGGACGGCGGGUUGAGAAGGUGCAAGGAUAGGCGGUAGACGAAAAACGCAUUACGCGUUCGCCGAGUUUACCUGUAUAACAAAUUGACGGGAAGAUUGGGGAAAAAGGUACACCGACACUGUUAUAUGAAUACGAGAGGAGCCGUCGUGCGAUCUGUUAGCUGUCGAAUAACCGGUGGCGGGCGUUAAAUUUGAGAAAAAAUAAAUAAAUAGAAAUAACCGUCGGAGGGAAAUCGGUCGAGCCGAGGGAAGGAAGAGGGGAGAAAAAAAGACACGGGAAAUUAUUCAAACGUGCCGCGGCGAUCGACUCGUAUAGUGAAAACGGCGUCAUAUACUAUACGUGCUAGGAAAUCCGGGGGGGGGGUUAUAUUAUUAUACCAAGUAAUUGUACCGCCGAAACGUGACUAACCUAUGGCGAUUUUUCAUUGGUAGACAUUCAUUUGUUAGAAAAACUAUUUAUUUUUCUUCGGAAAAUCAUAUAUACUGCACGGACAGGCGCCAGACGGCCAGACAGGAAAAGUUGAUUUAUAAACGAAUUAUUAUUUUAUCGCGUAUACACAAUACCGAAGUAGAUAAGUGUGUAGGUGAGUAUCCUAACCUGCGUGGCGAGAAAAAUAAUUAUUUACAAAAAUGAUUAACCGCGGUCUGGGGACGUAUAAAAUAAUUUUAGUUAAUGGUGUUAUUAUAUUAUUUGUAUUAUUAAUUAUACUAGUUAGCGUGCGAUUGUUUGAAAGUUUAGUCGGGAACUUCGAGAAGGCGGGAUAUUGGGAAUUGCGCCAGCCAUCAGCGGUUUAAAAAGUACAGGACAACGAAUACAAAUGACUUGGUCACGUCGUGCGCAGAAAUGUGGGAGAUGUGUGAUGUGUGGCAGACGGCUAGAGUGGUGUUGGCCAGAAUGGAAAUCUACUGGGAAGAGACCUCGUGUGGACGAUCUAAAAAAAGAUGGUCGGAUGUCAGAAUGUCUCGAGGAUGGUAGGAGUACAGAAUAAGUGAAUAACGUUAGUUCAAGUCAGAAAAAUGUGUUAAGAUAUCGUGAUGGCGGUGAGAACUCUUAAUGAUUACUAAAUGCCAGCGGAGAAAAAAAGACUGAACUAACCCAACACGGUUUUGCCCGCGAUGAAUCUUUUAUCGUUUUUGGUAUAAUUAUGUUGUUCAUGUACGUUACACACUGAAACGACUACGACGUAGUAUUCGAAUAGUUUUAGAACAUAUUAGCAGGGUGCUACAAAUUUAAGUUAAAUACUUGUGUAAAUGCAAAGGGGUAAAUCACUAUAACUACAUAAAAAUAACUUCUUAUUUUUCACUAAAAGUUAAACUUAUAUAAUUUUCUUCUAUGGGUAAAAUAUAUAUAGUUUUUUAUUUUUAUGUACCUUUCACUUUUUAUCUUUUUACUAACUAUUAAGAAAAUUAUUAUUUUUUUAUCUUUUAUAUACCUAAGAUUAGUAGUUGUCGAAAUUUGCGCCUAAAUAAUAUAAAAACUAUAAAUAAAAGAUAUUUUUUUUCUAGAUUAGAUUUUCGUUCUAACCAUUACUGAUGAAUUAAUAUACCUCACAUAAAACAAUAUGUAUUCUAGUCCCCCGCUUUUCAGAAUCUUUUAUCGCUUCACAAUACGUCAAUCGGACUGAUUGAACGAAAAUUGGUCUAAAUUGUUGAUAUGCUAUGUGCCUGCAUAAUAUAUUCAUCUAAAGGGAGGAGGCUAAUUUUGAAAAUGCAUAUAAAGUAAACAUUUAUGACGAGCUCAAUAAUGAAUCAAGCUAAGAGUAUAUUGGAGAGUUAAGAUAAACGAAUAUUUCUUAGGUUCACAAAUAUUCGCAUUACUUAUUUUAUCAAAUCAGUAUGUUAUACCUACACACAUAACAUAAAACGAUAAACAAAUCGUGUAUUCGUAUCGAUAUCAAUCGUAAAAAAAAAAAAAUAAAAAAAAUAUAUAUUUACAUUCUGUGGCGUAUAAAAGUAUAUUAUGGAGAUGUAUCUACCUUGACUUUUUUGUUUUUUAAUAACUUUUAUUUUUUUAAAUUAAAAUUUCUUUAAUUUUCGGUCAGAAAACCCAAAAAUGCGCUAGCACCUAAUUAAUUAAAACCUGAAUAUAUCUAUAUGUAUAUUUUCUUGUUUAACACGAAAUUUAUCCGCACCACUAUAAUACGAUGGAGGAAGUUUAGAUCAGUACGUGAAUAGUAAUAAUUUUAGGGUAGUAUCAGAACGUGGUCACUUACAAAAAUGUAUAAAUGAAAAACGGUCUUUCCACAUUCAAUAAUAUCUUCGUCCAUCAAAUCAUCAAAUUUGCCACUGUAUAGUAUAUAUAUAUAUAUAUAUAUAUACAGGUAGGACUUAAAUCGCAUUGUAAAACUGUUGGAUAUCUAUUUUUUUGUUUUCUCUAAAAAUACGUUAUGCGGCGUAGUCGUAUUUUAAAUUUAACGAUCGACGUUUACGUAAAAUAUCAGUGACUUAUCCGUAUAAUGUUAUAACGAUAAAAAAAAAAAAAAAAUAACAACAAUAGUAAUAAUAAUAAUAGUAAUAAUAAUAGAACCCGUCAAGGAGGUUUAUUAUUAUUAUUCGUCUACGGUAAUAUUUUUGCGACGAAAUUGCCUACGCUUUGCCCCUUAAAUCGCCCGCACGCGCUCGUCGGAAAUGGGAUUUUUCGCGGCAAAACGUUAUAAUAACUCGUAAUAUUAUUAUAAAAUAUAGCUAUAUAAUAUUAUAGGUACACGCGCGCGAGCACUAAGCAUUAAAUUUCGCAAACUAUAUUAUAACAUUUAGCUCGUCGCGUUAAAUUGUAGUAAUUUGCGUACUUUUUUUUUAUAUAUAUGUAUAUACAUACUUUUAGUUUUUUUAAAAUUAGAAACGAUUUAUUUAAAAUAUUGCAGUACCCGUCUAUACGUCUUACCCAUCUACCCCGCUAUACCGGGAGAUAAUAAUAUUCUCGGCCGUAAACCGAAUUUGUUAUUAAUAAUUUAACGGGCGCCCGAGCAAUUGAACGGUUCGCUGCUCACCCCUCCGGUUGAUUAAAUUUCUUCCAAAUUGCGCUCUUACGCUCCGGCGAAAUACCACGUGUACGACGGUGUAACCGAUUUUGACGACGUACAAAAACAUAUAUCUAUAUAAAUAUAUACACACAUACAUACAUAUAUAUAUAUAUAUAAUAAUAAUAAUUAUAUUAUAUACGACGUUGUAAAAAUUAUAAGUUACGGAUCUUAAAUUUGUAUUUUUUCAUCUACACGCGAUUACUUACGUAGCUACUUGAUAUAUUAUACAUACCUCUCACAUUUUAUUUUAGCGAUCGGGUUUCGCUUUAUGUAGAAGUUUACGCUUAAAUAUACCUAUAUAAUGUAAUCGUGUACAGCCCGAAAAGUUCUCGGUAAAAUCCGUUUUAUUAUUAAGAUAAUUGUAGUGAAUAAGAUAAGUAGUGCAUAAUAAGUUAUUCACUACUUGUCACUUUAUAUUAAUAGAUUCGGAUAGAAAAAAAAAAAUAAUUAUAACGGUAACAAAUAAAUAAAACUCAACCCCCCUCCCAAAAAGAAAAAAAAACAAUUUAUAUACCUACGAGUAGUAUACUUAAUAAUAACGGUAUAAUCGUCGACUUUUUUCGACGACUUUAAAGCUUAAUUAGUUUAUUUUUGUUUAUGUUUCAUAUACGAAUUUGUUAUAUUAUUAUACCUGUAAAAUUUCGAAAUCGAUUUGACCUUGUGGUGAGAGGGAGGGUUACGUGAAAUCGAAUUCCCGGAUUUAAAGUUUAUUUUACUCGGAAACGGUUAGGUUACAAUUAGAGCUGCCUGUUUCAUGUGUACAUAUUUUAGCGUAUUUGCAUUAAAUUGACAUUCGAAUCUAUAAAACCACGUACACAAGUAAUUAUACACGUGUUUUGUAUUUUUUUUAUUUUUUUUUUGUAUUUUCACUACGUAUUCACAUUAAAACACAUGAACAUGUAUAGUAAAUCCACGUGUAUUUUUAAUAUUAUGUAAGUACACAUAUUUCAUUAAUUUGUACACUGACGCCGUUUUCACGUACUUAUUAUUUCACUUUUUCGAUCAAAAUUUCCAGUUAAAAUCAGUUUCUAAAAAGAGUAAAUAGUUUUGAAUUGGUCCAAAUUCUAAUUUCAUAUAGACGUCCAUAGUUUAGUUUUCAUCGGGAAAUUGUUUUAUCGAAUACCGAAUACCCACUGUGUGUUUUCUUCGGUUACACCGCCUCCCGCCAGUGAGAAUAUUCCCUACGUAAAAUAUAGAAUUUUUCUCCGUUUGGAGAAAGAAAAUCUCCUUAAAAUAAAGGCUAGUCUUUUGACCGACGCAACAUGGACGAGAACGACGGCGGAUUCAAUGUGAAACAUUAAUAUAACCCGAAAAAUAUUUUAUUAUCUACGUAGAGGUACCUAUAAACUCAUUACUAUAAGGACGCGAAUUACAUAAAAUAAUAAAGAACAAUAUUCGAUUUAAUAUAAAAGGAAGAUUUUAUAACGACAUAAUUGUUUUCGGGCAGAGAAAGGAAUUAUACGGAGGAACCAAGAUUAAAGACAACAUUUUGUUGGAGAAAAAAGUCGUUUUACUAUAGCUGCUACAUAUUAUAUAUAUAUAUAUACACAUAGAGUUGCAUUUAAUCGUUUUAAUCCCAAUUCCCAAAGCCAUUUUAAGAGUAUAAUAUUUUAUAUAAAUCCCUUGGAAAAACAUAAUAUAUAAAUAAUCGUGUACAUAAUAUUCGUUGGUUCAACUAAAGUAUAUAUUUCUAUAUUUAUAUUAUUAUAUAUACGAGAAAAAUUGCCAAAGUCAUUAAACGCCACGUAUAAUAUCUUCGGUUUAUCCUUUUUUGCUCGUUUAAGUAUAUAACGAGUAUAAUGUAAUAUUUUUAUUUACGAGAACUUGGCGGUUAUGGACUAGUUUUCUAUAUAAUAUUAUGUACACGACUAAGUUUAAAAAGUUUUACUAACAAGCCGAUAAAUAUCAUUAUUUUUUCGUGUAUAAUAUUGUAGAAAAAAAAAAAAAAACUAUAUUACAAACGGAAUAAAUAUUAUUGUACAACGAAAAGCUAAUUCUAACUUUGUGGACUACAAUAUAAUACAAUAAUAUAAAUUAGACGUACAUUUAAAAAACAUUUUUUUUUUUUUUUUUUUUUUUAAAGCGUUAUCAUACCACUCUCGAAAAUAUUCCGUUCUUUGAAUGUUGUGAUUUUAAUAAUUUUCACUGGAAUGCCACAAUAAAAUUUAUAUUCUAAGUAACGUGAUUUUGCUAUUUAAAUCUAAAUUCAACUGUAGUUAGCGCUGAUGUCGUUUGAUGUCAUGACGUUUAUUUUAUCUUUUACGCCCCUUCGUCAAAUCCAGACCUAGCCCCUUUACUUUGGUUCAAUUAACUGCCCCAAGGGUGUAUACUCAUCGAAUUUAGAUCUUUAUCUCGCCUGUUAAUAAUUAUAGAUCCUGCAGAGUGCGGGGACAUGCAGUAUCGGGUUUAGACUCAUAUUCUUGUUAUCAUCUAACCAAAAUAUUCAUUUUUUUGGUUUUAACUCUAACGUUAUUACGUCGAUGGACAAUAAUACGAGUGUAUAUUAUUAUUAUUUGUUAAACGCUAACCGAUUCCCCCGGUUCCGGCAGUCGCGUUCACUAGAUAUCCGCAAGAAAACGGUCACCAAGGGUGGGCGCCGAGUGGAAAGGGGAAGCUACGGGAAUUAAAACAGUGAAUAAAGACACGGGGCUAACGGCCGUGGUUGAGGGUAGGGGGUUACUUUUGUUCCAGAGCAAGAGUAGUGAGAAAUGAUUCGACGGGCGUGUGGCUGUCAGUUCGCGGGCCACCGAAUCAUUAAUAAAAUCUCUCUCCGCCCUGUCUCGCUCCGUUGUAUACAGAUAUAAUAAUAUAUUUCAGCUCCUCUCUGUUCGCCUACGCAUUUGCGGUUCCCGUUCUGUCGAAUUUAUUCCAUGGGUGAGAGGUGGGAGGGGCGGGACGCGCUCGCAAAAACACAACAAAUUUCACGGCUGCGAUAUCCCCGGACGUGGCGCACAACCCUUCCGCUCGGCCUUUCGAUUGCGUAGAAAUACGCGUACAUAUUAUAAUAUUGUAUUGUACGCAUAUAAGCGAUUGUUAUAAUAUUACAUGUGUUUCUUUUCGGAGAUGAUUUCGAGUAUGUAAGUUUGAUUUUGAGAAUUGUUUAUUAUGUUUUUUUAUGUUAUUAUAGUUUUUUUUUAAUCGUUAGAAGUUCAAAUUUUAUAAAAAUCAUAAAUAUUACUUUAUUUAAAGAUUUAAACAACCACUGUUGAAUCCAGACUAUUUGUCUAGGGGGGGGGGUAUUAUUAAAAAUUAUAGUAGGAAAUUACUUUUUUUUUCUUUUUCUACCCUCUAAGUCAAAUUGUUUUUAUUAUUUAAGAACAAAAUUCGCCCUCUCCCCCUCCCCCCGUCAUAUACCUGGAUUCAAAACGGUGUAUAAUCGAAAUUCGUUCAGCCUCGUAUUUCAAUAACAUCUAUUUAUCUUUCCAUACAGAAAUAAACUUAAUAAUUUAAUGUAUCCUACCUUUCCAACUUUCCUCUUACGACAGUGGCACACCUAUCUGCAAUAUCAGCUCUUUUUUUCUUCAAUUUGUUUGCAAGACAAUCAUUUUUUUUGAUUCCGUAUAAUAUGAUAGAGUCUGACGUUAUAAUAAAUACGUAAUAUUAUUAUUGUCAACACGCUUUAUUUUACAUGAUUUUUAAACAUUUUAAAUGUUUUUGAAUAUCAUAUUCGAAAAGAGAUCAUUUUUUACGAUAAAUUAAUAUCAUAUUACCAAUAAAUUAUCGUAGAGUGGCCAAAAAAAGGAAAACAAGCAUUACGAGUACAAUAAUAAAAUAUACUUUCCACGAGAAAAAUUUCAUCUUUUCGGAUGAGUGUUUAAAAUUGAUUACGUUAUUAGCACAUAAUUUUAAAAAUUUCACAAUUAAACGUCAAGUGGAGGGGAAGUAAAUUUACUCGAAAUCUCCGUAUAAUCUCCGAAUAUUCUUAUAUGUAUAGGCAAUUAUUAUUAUCUCGCGAUCAAAGAAUCACCCUGUGUACUGUAGAUAUUUUAUACUCGUACACACACACGCACAUACACGUGACACGGGGUAGUACUCCUUCCCCUUGCUCCUUCCGCACCUGGUCACACAUAUCAUCCCGUUGCCGUCUCACGGUGUGGUCUCUCGCUCUCUCUGUCCCCCCCCCUCUCUCUCUUUAUACUACGCAGCGGUGGCCUCGGGUGCCACCGGAAAAAGCUCCCCGACCUAAUGAAUAAAUCCAUCUAUAGUUUCGAAUCAAUCUCUGUCAACCCCCGGGCCCCGAUGACGUUCAUUGUUGGAAAAUGUAAAAGGCACAAUGUGACUAUAAUAUAUAUUUCGACGGGCAUACACACAUAUUAUUAUUAUUAUUAUUAUUAUUAUAUUAUACACGCCCAAUAGCGUCGCCACCGUCGACACCUCCCCGCGAACCUCCCCAUGUCAAAUCGUCAAACUACCGCCGCCGCCGCCACCCCUUUACCCCGCAUCGGUUUUCCGACACUAAUAAUAAUUACGCGUUGAUUACGUCGUCGUCGUUGUGAUGUAUGACUACGUAUAUACGCAUAUGAAGGGACACGAAGUCUCGUAUAACCAUAUUUCGAAAUUAGACGCGCUUUGAUCGUCGACGACGCGAUAUUAUUAUUAUUAUUAUUAUUAUUGUAUAUGUUUGUUAUUGCGUCAACACGAAAUAACGUUUGCCUUUCCCGCUGAUCCGCUGAUAAGACGGGCGGUGAAAGCCAAAGAAGGCGAUCCCGCUCCGGGACACACCGCGCACCUUCUCACCAUAAUAAUGUACACUUACAUACAUCCUGUAUCCUAUAUACUGAAUACCUACACGUAUUAUAUAGUAUGUACAGUUUUCCUCGAGCUUUUCGCGGUUACGCUUACAUGCACGUAGAUGCUGUUUUACAUAAAUCCACCCUUAGACUCCAUCCGUAUCCCCUCACCCCAAAAACAGCGAUUUUCGAUCGCUUAUAAUAUAAUAACGUGCGAAUCAAGCGAAUCUUCGCCCACGUGAAAAUCGGCCGUCAAAUGUGUAUCGUAGUUUGUUACAGUAAUCAUAUAAUAAUACGUUGAUAUUGUAUAUGGGGGUAGGUAGAUAAUAUUAUCUCGUACAUGCAUAUUUUGCGAAAUAACCACGGUUUUCAAAAAUGUCAUUCCCUGUAUAAUAUACUUUGAAAGAAAUCGCGAACAAAUAAAUUGGCACGAAUAAUUUUUUAAAAUUGAUCGUCGAUUCAGUGGUAUUGACGUAAGAGGUACAAAAACCGAAUAGGUGAGUUUUAAAAAAACAAUUUUAUUUUUUUAACAGGAGGCCGCGGAUUCUACCGUGGUCCAUCAUCAACUUCAGGGAUGUUUUUCGGUACCUAGAUAUUUUUUUCUGUACUACGCAUUUAUAUAUCUCGCGUCUUUAUAUUUAUAUUAACUAUAAUAAAAUGCAUAUGGCAAUCACACGAUAAUAAUAAGAUGGAUAAAUUACAGUGCCACCAACAGAUCUGUAAUAAAAUGUCCCAAAAAAUACACGAGUAUGCAUGAUGUAAAAUUUUAAAAAUAUAUGAUUUACACCCUUUUUUAAAAACACCGACUAUUUACGUAUAGAUCUCACGAUACGAUUGACCUCGAAUUAUGCUUGUACAUACUUACGCGUAUUAUAUUCCUAUAUAAUAUUGUAUAUAAAUUAUUGAUUCAAUAGUGUUUGUAAUCAAGUAUUUGACUAAUUCCGUUUGUUUAUUAUAUAUUAUUAUGUUUCAGGUGAGUGAAAAUGUGUUUCUUUUAAUAUAAUGUAUUAUAUUAAGUAUCAAUGCUGUCAAUAUGCAUUAUAUGAAAAAAAAAAAUUUUUGGAAAAUAAUAAUCGUAAGUUAACAAUAAUUGUAUUUAAAUGUAUUUUAAUAAUUUUAAGAAGUGCGUCUAAAAUGAAAAUAAAAGUAGAAUACUAUUAUAAAAUAUCUAAAUACUAAAUUAUUUAGUACUAUUUGUACAAAUUACAUUUACUUAUAAAAUCUAUCCAUACAAACACAAUAAUAAACUAAUUAUAUUGGUAAAUAAUAAAAUCAAUUUUUUUUUUUUGUGUCUGUGAGGUAAUCUAAAAAGAAAAAUACAAUUUCUUAUUUUAAAUUUCACCGACCAGAUUCACGUGACUCCUUUUGGCGUGAAUUUCCGAAAAUCCCUUUUUAUUGCACGUAAUAUAAUUUAUAUAAGGUGCUUCAGUGCAAAAUGUCAAGUUUCUAUUAGACCCAAUCGUUCUUGAGAUACAGCGACGAGUCAGUCAUUCGGCGAAUGAAUGGAAUUUGGCUUUUAUAUUAUAUAUAACUAUAUACCUGUAUAGAUUUCUGAGUUUCCCUAACAGUUAUAUGGGGAAAACAACCUACUUUAAAUUAUUAUACCCUGAACCCGAGGCUUUUAUAUUUUUCGACUGUAUAUUUCAAGUAGUGUGAUAUUAUAUAGAGAUCGGAAUGUGCGGUAAAACUCACGUUUCCCAUUUGCACGAGUAUUUUCGAUUUAUUUCGAAAACGUGCAUUUUAAUACCCGUUAUAGCCUUUAGGUGCCUUUACCCAACUAUAUAUAUAUAUCGCACCAAUAGAAUUUUUAUUACGUUUUUACCCGCCGCCACUUCCAACUAGUCGACUGUGUAAGUGUUAUUUUAUAUUAUAAUCGUCGCAUAUUAUACGUACCACCGGUUUUGCUACUAUAAUCGAUCGCGUUUUCCGAAGACGAUCAAAUACCCUUCCCCCCGAAAUGUUUUUGAAUCGUGGUCACCGUGGACGUUUUCACCUUAGCGUUACGUUAAUUAUUAUCGAUGUAGCCUAAACGGCUCCCACACAUUUGACAACACUGAUUCCGUAAUGGUAUCACUGUCUAUGUUGGUAACACUACAGUGUUAUAAACCUGAAACCUAUCGUUCAAAUUAUUCAGUCAGUAUUAGUCUUAUACGUACUAAAUAAUAUCGACUGAAAUACAACAAAUACAAAGUUAAAUUUAUUAAUUCAAUUUACCUGCUUUAGUUUCAACUGAAUUUAUAACAGGUGUGUUUUUUCUUUGUAUAAUAUUUCAAUACUGGUUUUACUCAGGUACAGGUUGUGUGAUAUUAACUUGAUAUUCAGUAUUAAUUGUAUGAGGUUUUAAAUUAUUUAUUGUAAUAUGUAUUCAUUAUUUUCAUGUAAAAUUAAAAAUACCAAUACACUUUUAACCACACUUCUUACAAGGAAGUCUUAAAUCUGCAUAAAGUAGAAAGGCAUUUGUAUUUGGUUAGUAUAGGAGUCGUUUAAAAAAAAAAAGGUGGACGGGAGCCAAUUAAUUCGAGGCCCAUGAAAUCGUGUCAUAUACUUUUAUAUUGUAAUAAUGAUAGGUAUAUUAUAGGAGUUAAAAUUUAUCCCUUUCUUCGAGGAAGGUGAAUCAACACGCAUACGAAUCCUGUGUGGGCGUGUUUAUGUUUUCCUCGAGCUUUUCGCGAUUAUAAUACUUGAACUGUGAUAUUAUUUUAUACGCUAUAUACAUAAUAAUAUAAUAUACAUUGUUGGUCUCCUCCAAUCGUAUAUACUAUAAGAACAACACAAAUGCGUCGAACCGAUAACAACCUCAAAUACCGUAUAUCUAUUAUAAUACAGGUACUUAAAACGUGUAAAUCGGUUGUCACAUUUUUAUUAUAGUAAUCUAACUUUACAUGUACAUGCACGCAAAUACGAAAUACCUAAAUAAUCUAAAUAAUACAAACGUAGGUAUAGCUGUGUUAUUAUACAAUGUGGUCUAAUACCCCUCCCCCUCCGACAAAUCAACCAAUUUAUGUGGCACCAAUUUUCGGUGAUAUUGAAUGGGUAAAAGUCGAGACGGUAGAACAGAAAAUAAUUUAAUUUAUAUCGAUAUUCCGUUUCUAAUCGAUACACGAUUCUGAGCCAAGUUUCAUUAAAAUACAUAUUUUCAAAUGCUGCGAGUUUUACGAUUUUUAUAAAAAUAUGUGAGCUUUAAACGCUUAUAAAAAUACAAAAAUUAUAAUACCAUUACCCACGACUUUAUUUUUUACCACUAAGUGCAACUUAUCAUGAUCCAUGCGAUUUUAAUUAUCAAGCAUUUUUAAUGGGCAAAAACAUUUUUAUUCACAUGAAACCCAUUAAAAACUAAACUAAACUAAAUUUAAAACGGCUAUUUCCCGGUUUUUUGACGUUAUUACCGGAUUUUUCCUCGUUAUUAAAAUAAAAAAGCUUAACAAAAUAAUUUCCUAAUGCACCAACUUGACAAAAUUUGUUUCAAAAAAUAUCUCUUGUAGUGUUUUGAUUGAAUAACAGACUAAAAACAAUAUCAUAGCAAAAUCAUUUAUUUCAUUUUUGCAAGAUAGUUUCGAUAUUAUCCCACGUUUAUAAAAUAUCAAUAUGCUAACGGUAUAAUACGGUGAGGAUUCUCACGACUGUUUUUCUGAUUGAAGAAAUAUCGAUUUUAAUUGUGAAGGGGAAUUAUAAACGCCCUCCUCCCUCCCGGUGAGCAUUUUCGAUUUUGAUUUGGAAAAACGGGCUGAUAGAAUUUUCAUUACGUAUCGUACAGACGGUGUAUAAGUAGCUAUUAUUAUUAUUUUGUAGUCUUCAAUUUUGAAUAUAAUCAGUCGGAUUAAAUAUUGCCCCGUUGAAACGUAUCGUUCCGUGUUCCAAAUACGAAACGAUCGACGACUUUCGCUCGUCCCUUUCGAAAAACGGCACGGCGCGAGUGUAUUUGUAUGUGUGUGUGUGCGUGCUUUUUUUUUUUUUAGCUUUUCGCGGUUGCUCGCGAGGUAUUAUAAUAAUAUAUUUUGUAUUAUUAUUGUGAUAUUGUUCCAAUAACGUAUAUUUAAUCCGAAUAAAGUACACACCGAUAACGCGAUGAGUGCGGCUAUAUUUACCUAAACAGUGUGUAUCGACUCGAGCACACAUCACUUUCCGUGUAAACCGAUCGACGAAUUUUUAUUGUUAUAUUAUUAACAUAAUAAUAUUAUAAUACAAUGAAAAUAAUAAUGACGAUGAUAGUAAUAUCAUCAUAACGUAUACAAACCGAAAAAUAUUUUUAUUUUCUUUUCAACCGACGAAUAUCUGUGUUAGAGUGCUGGAAUCCGGUCGCGUAUAUCCAUCACAAUACUUAUAUUUUUAUCACUAUAGAUAUUAGGUUUUCAAAACUGGACAUAAACAAUAAAGUUAACAAAUCAGAAGUUAUAAGUUACUUUAUUGUUUUUUUUGUAUAACUUUUAACUUACUAGUUUAAAAAAAUAAAAGAGAUGUUAAAAAAUAACUGAUAAAACAAAAUUAAAAAUAAAGUUAACUUCACAUGGUUAUAUUUUGUCAAAAUUGAAAUUAUUUCUAAAAAUUUAUUCACGAGCUUCCGUAUAAAAACUGUGUAGGUACCUAAGUUUUUUUGUACUUUGUAUUUUGAAUACAAUGAUACAAUUUUACAUGAAUUUAUUACUAUCAUUUUAUGUACAGACAGGCAUAUGGCUUCCGCCACGAGUGUUGUGUAGUGAGUCUAUAAAAAUACAAAUUUUAGAGUAAAAACCGCGUUUAUAAAUGUCCACUUGUCUUCAAUCGUUUUGGCUUGCUGAAAUUCGCCACGCUUCUCUUUCGUAACUCAAUUCCUUUAACUUUUUGUUCACUAAUCUUAUUCGUGUCUAUCAUGAUUUGUUUUAUGUACUCCGUCCUUGAAGUUCUUCUUCUUUCUAUAUGACCUUCUGCAUCACCUUCUAAGUCGCAGACUAUAAACUAUAAUAGGGCUAUCCUAUUAUUGCUAGCCUAACAUAAUCUAACCUAUCCUAUCAUUUUAUCACUUCUGACUUUCAUACUAUACCAAUGUUCUCAGUAUUUCUUUAUUCUAUUCGGUACUAGUUAGUUAUUCGGUACCGCUCUAGUUUUUUUUUCUCUUCAUUACCCAUUGUCUAAGUUUUUUAGUCAUAUAAAGGCAUAUUCCAUACAUCCAGGGUAAUUUUAAAAAAAAAGUUAUUUUAACUUAACCUUAAUUAUUAUUAUUUUACUGAAAAUGUGUAACUUAGCUUAGUUCCUCAAACUCAUUUAUAUUUCAAUACCAAUUUUAAUUUAGCUUAAAUAUUUUUCAAUAUUUUCUAUUUUUUAGAUUUCCAGUGUAAUGAAGAAGCUGUAUAAUUGUUACCGAGAAAUGUUUUUAUUUUCUCAAAAAAUACUUUUUAGAUUAGUAAAAAUUCUCCAUUUUUUCAUGCCCUGCCUUAUCAAAAGAUCGAAUUUUCAGACAAAUGGAAUAUACUUUAUUGGAAUAUAUUUUUAAAAUUUCCAAAAUAUAAGUUUUUAUGUACUUUUUUGUCUACCAUGAAUUUAUAAAACACAAUAUACUGCAUAGUUUUAUAGUUAAAUAAUUUUAAAGACGAUGUAUUAUAUCGAAUUUAUCUUUCUGAAAUCCCCUGAAAUAAAUUGCGCAGGACGAAAUACAAUCAGAUAUAUCAAAACGGUAGGUACACAUGUGUCGUAAAAUUGUAUUUUGUAUUUUGCCGAACUAUUGUUUCGUAAAUUAUUCAAUGGCACAAAAAAAAAAAAUAACGAGGUUUUCCGAUUUUCUUUUCAUGCGGUUCGCGUAUACCUACCUAUACAAUAUGUAAUGUAGUUGAAUUGCCAAAAAGGUUAGGCUUAUACGCACGAAUCACGUCAAUAAAAUGCCCGCAGUCUUUCAAUUCUGCGGGGGUCUUACGCACGCAAACUCACAUUAAUCCAUUAAUAUUUUAUCCGUAUACACCGAAAAAGAAUGAAAUAAUUUCGCUGACUGGCAAAAUCGAUUCCGUCCGUUUUUUUCUCCCUUUGCGCGGCGCGGUACACAUCAAAUAAUUAUAUGGGGCAGAAUUUGUCCGCUCAACCGUUUUUUUCGCAUUCAAAGGGGAUUUUUUUUCCUUCCGCGCGUGCAUAUUCAGUUCGUUAGACUCGGAAUUUUUUUUCAGACUAAAACCUGCCAAACUCAAACACCAUAAAUAAUUGCUAAAAGAGGGACGAGGGUAUUUUUUUUUCGUGUGUUGCGUAGUUAUGCGUGACAAUUAUUUUGGAUUUUAAAUAUACAUAUUAUAUGAGUAGGUAGGUGUAUACGAAAAAAUACAAAGUUUUAGUCUUAUAUUGUAAUAAUGCGGCCGCCGUGCUACAUUUAAUAUUUUUCAUAGAAAAUUAUGAUGCGCGUUAAACACUGCGCGGUGGACUUGCCAAUUUCCUGGCGAGAGGGAGAAAUUCGUUAAAACGUCGGCGCGCGGUAAAUGAAAAUCUUCCAGGGGGAGAUUUCUCUAAUAAUAAACGUUGACUUUUGAAGGAAAUUGGUCAGGUGCUGUACAGGAACCGAGGGUUAAGAAAAGGCGCGUAUUCUCGAUUACCGGUACAAAAACAAGGGUUAUAAUUUGAACAAUUUAAGGCAGCGGAGCACGUUUUCAAUUAUAGACUUUAUUAUCGCCUUUGCUUACGAAAUCCUUGUCAGUGUUUAAGAAUCUGAGGACAUCCGUGAACUGCGUACCACCCUCACCUUAUUAAUAAACCGCAGUGGAACGCAUAAAAAUCGAAUUUCCAAAAAAAUCUAUAGAAUGAUUAUUUUAUUGUUGAACACUCGUUAUUUCAAAAAGUAUAGAUCCUACCCAACUUAAACUUGGAACAUCUUGGCAAAGGGUCGACGGAAAUAAAAAAUUUAAACAUAUAAAUGCAUUUAAACUAAUACUCCAUCAAUCUUCGGAUUUUUCAAUAUAGAUUAAAAUCAAAAGUAGGUGAUCGUUUCAUCCCCAAAACUAAGGGUUUUAAAAAUAAUAGCAAUAUAACGUUUAGCAGCUGUUUGUUUCUUAAAUUGUCAAAUCAAAUUUUUUUUUGGAAUAAUGAGUUUUCACGGUAAAAGAAACACCCAGUAUAUAUAUAUGAACAAAUAUUGUCGUGGUCUAGAUACCAAAUUGAAUUAUACGAACAAGAAAAAGGAGGGAAAUACAUUUGUAAAAUAGAAAAAUAACAUUUCAAUGCGAUUAUUUUGGAUCUCCAAAACUAUAUUAUAUUAUAUAUGACUGUAAAAACUUUUUAAUAAUAUGAUCAAUACGGAACGAAAAACGUCGAUUGUUGUUAAAAUCGCUCGUUUCUAAUGCGAGUUGAAUUAUUAUUAUUUCGCCAUACAGCGCGCGCAAACGGUAUUUAAUUAUUUUAUAAUCUUCGUUUCGUGUGGACGAUGCGAUGGGAACCAAUAAUUUUAUUAUAUAGACGCGUUCUCACGCAAAACUAUUUUAUUAAUAAUAAUUAUACUAUAAUUAUAUAUAUGUAUACGUCUCGUAUACGAUAUGAACUUCAAACUAAAACUCGACUGAAAUAUAAUUAACAUUUAUAUCCGAACAUUAGUCUUUAACGAAUUAACGGACAUUUAAAACGCAUUAAAACUCGUAUUAAACUAAAUAGUAUUUGUUAACACCGAAAUUAUUAUUAAAAGUGAGCUCAUAUAGAGAAUAUUAAAGUUUUUAAUAUUCGAACAAUGGUUCGAUUAGUGAUGGGCCUUGGGAAUAUUCCCAAAAUAAAUAUAUAAAAGGGAAUUUAUCGGGAAUAUCCUCACCAUAUAUUUGUCUUCCCUAAAUCGGGAAUUUUUUUUUCUUUCCAUCGGUCGUCCACACGAUUAAUAGAAGUUACUUUCAAUAUGUUUAAAUUAAUUAUUUAGUUUUCAAAGAGUUUUAAAGGAGUACAUGUAUUUGUUUUUUUUUUCAACAAUAAAACAGCUUAUUAAAACCUAUUAAAAAAGUAUUGCUGCUGUUAGAUAUUAAACCAAGUAAAGGAUCUGUCUAGGUUACAGUACAAACAUAGGUUUUUCUCCUAAAAAACUAAAUUAAAUGUUUUUUCAGAUAUUUUUAUUUCAUUACUUGAAGUUUGUUGGUACUAUCAUAACAUUAAUCAUAAAAUAAGGAUAAUGAUAGUUUGUUUGUAUUUGAUUAGCAAUAAUUUAAUUUUGACUUACCGAAUAGAAUUUAUAGGAAAAAUUUCUGUUGUUUGAAAAUUUAUUAUAAAUUCCGGAAAUAUUCCCUCAUUUUAAAAUACCGGGAAAUUAUCCAUCGCUGUAAAUUCGAUUAUAAUAUUUAUUAUGUUCUUAUUGGUUUUAAUUCGUCAAAGUUCGUUAAAUUUUUAAAGAUUAUGAGUUAUAUUUAUAUUAAUAUAAUUAAUUGUGUGCUUAGGAAUUUUCUACGUACGAUAAGCUACAAUAAUAUUGUGAGUCUUAUGCAGAUUUGUAUCUUAAAUUUGUAUGCAAACAUAUUAUGUACGGACUUACGUAAAUCGAACAGAAGGAAAAAAAAAGAAGGAGAUUUUCGCUUCCUUUCAUAAACGGGAACUCUUUCCCGUCCCUCAUUCUUUUGGUUCAAAAAUACCUCGUUCCAGUUUUCGUUCUUAACACUGGAUAUAAUCCGCAUUAACCUUCGUGCCUGCGCACGCCACUAUAAUAACAUUAUAUAGACACGCGUCUCGUUCCGAAAUCAAAGAAAUUAUUUGAAAGGCCAUACAUAUCUUAUAAAUGCAAAUCCGAAUGCUACUGAAAUCAAGAGUGUCGGUAUCAAAAUCAACGAGACAAUAAUUAUGUGUGUAUAAAUGUUAUUUUAAUAUACCGUUCGCGUAUAUAUAAAUGUAUAAUAUUACAUUACAUAAAACUUAUCCGUGUCGCGUGAAGGAGCUUUCAUAAAUUUACACGGUCGCUCGGAGGCGCCGCCGUCAUCGUUGGAAAUUACAGCAGCUUUUGAAAUCAAAAAUUACCCCCCCCCCUACCUCUCCUGCCUUGUAUAUUACGAUAGGUACGUACACUCUUCAGCCGACUCGAAAAUCCAAUCAGUGCGAGAUUCGGUGUAUAGUGGCAGGUGCGUCCCGAAAGUUUCAUCGCGUACGUACAUACAUGUAUAUGUAUAAUAUAGAAAACGACUUUCGACAAGCACGCACACGCUGUAUAGUUGUUGUAUAAUAGGUACGUAAUAUCAUAUAAAAUACAACGUCGUUUCAAUUAAUACGAUGUCUCGUGUGUCUCAUUAAAUAUCGUGUAUAGUAUAAAAUAAUAUAAUAUAUAUAGGUGUAGCGCACGUAUAAUAAUACCUACUCGUAUUAUGACGCCGCGCGCCGCCGCCUUCUACUGAUUGAAUUGAAAACGACAAGGGUCGGGGGAUGAAAUUAAAAAAAAAAAAAAAAAAAAAAAACCAAACGAACGCCGUUGUUUGAGCCAACCGACCGUGAACCGAUUAAGAAUAACGCAGGUACCCCUGUAUAUAUAAUAAUAUUAUAAUCUAGAUCAUUAUGAGGAAUCGGUAGAGUAAAACCGGGUCGUGAACUCGACUUGUGUGCUCGAGUAGAAAAAAAAUAAAUAAGAAUCAUAAUGAUAUUUUAUAAAAUAGAUUAAUUUUGUUCGUCAUUUCGACAGAACCUAUGUAAAUAUUAUAAAUUACAUAUAGUUACAAAGUUAGAAAAACGAGCGUAACUUUCGAGUUAAUUAUACUUGUUUACCGUUGGUUAAUAUUGCAAGCCUGGGAAAUUUAAUGAAUGAGUCAAAAGUUAAUAGCUUUAUCAGUUCACUAAGUUAACUCGCACUAGUUUGAAAAUCUAAUCGACUUUGUAACUUUGGUAAGUUUAUUAUUAUUGUUUCUUUUUUACUUUUAAUUUUAUUUUUAUUUUCGAAAUAAGGAGAACAAUUAAACAUGGAGUUUGUCAUUUUUAUUUUUAAAAAAAGGAUGAUCAAUGUUAAACACUAGGGGAUUAUUCCAAUAAUAUCAAAUUAUUCCUACUCAUUUUACUAACCAUUAAAUAUCUUAGAAAAUCAGUUAUCUGCUUGUUUAGAAAAUAGGAGUUAUGAUUUUAAUUGUUUUAAAUUAACUCGUGAAAAUAAUAUUAAGUAUCAAAGCAUUCACUUUGAUGAGGAUAGGAAAUGGAAAUCACAAAUCAAUCUAAAUAUAAAAAUAAAAAAUAUUGAGAAAGCAAUUCUAUACAUUUAAAGAAUUAAAUAUCAUUUUAGAUCUUUUUAGUUUGCGUAGAGUUUAUUUUUCUCUGGUACAGUCUGUCUUAUCCUACGGUAUAUCCGUAGGAUAAGACGGUAUAUUUUUUGGGGAUCAGCAUACCUAGCCACUGUGGAGCAACUAAACAUUACGCAUAGAGUGUUAAUAAGAAUUACAUUAAAAAGUUAUGACAGAAUGAAUAUUUCACAAAUGUCUGAUAUUCUAUGAACAUUUAUUAUAAACAACUUUUUGAAUACACUUUAUUAAUCUAAUUACAUUCUAAUUUGGGUCCCAGGUAAAUGAGUGCUUAUGAAUUAUUCCUAAUGGAAGAAGGGAGAAGUGUUUUAGGCUUCCCAAACGUAAUUCUUUGGUUUAUCAAAAAUAUUAUCAAUACAAAGCUAUAGCAAUGUUUAAUAAUUUACCAAAUUAUAUUAGGAUAGUAAAUGAUAAGAUGUUGUUUAAAAAAACUAUAAAAAAAUGUAUGCUCGUGGGAGAUAAUCUUAAUAUCAAUAAUGGAUACUUUUGUUCGUGUUCAUUAUUAUUUAAAUACUAUCCUGUGUUUAUUUAUUUUUGUUUUAUAUUGUUGUAAUCAUUUUCACUUUCAUAAAUUGUAUAAAUGUACAAUUACUUGUGUAAUUAACAUCUGAUAUCUACCCCUCUCAUCACAAGCUUGAUUAAAGAAAGGGGCAAUCAGUUCAGUUCAUAUUACUACUAAAUUAUUUUGUAUUUAUGUAUUACUUAUGUUGAGUUAAGCUGAAUUGUUAUUAUUAUUGUUUUUUUAAAUUCUAAUUUCUACACACAUGAUUAAGUAAAAAAAAUAUAUAAUUUAUACUUUAACACAUAUUCAAUUAUUGUAUAGAUUGUAAAUUUAUGUGAUGUAAUUCAAAUUGAACUCAUUAUUUAUUGAGUUGGUGUAUUAAAAAAAAAAAAAAUAGUUUAAAUCUUAGUUAAAAGUUAAAAUUAACUGAACUAUUAACAUUUGAACUCGUUAAUGCUCAGAGUUGGUUAAUUGUGUAACUAUAUAGGUAACGUACAGACUAUUUUUUUCAAUACACCUUAUUGAGUUACUUUUAAGUUACAAUAUGUGUUAAAAUAUGUAAUCCAAUAUUAUUUUCAUAUUGAUAAUUGAUGUGGAAUGACUAAAAAAUUUAACUUUAUUUAGACUCUGUAAAAUAUUAAAUUAUAUAAGUGACUUAUAACUAGUAAAUGUAUUGAUUUUUUUAAAGAGUAUGAUUAUUUUUUAGUAAUAAUUUUACUUAUAGUGAUUGAGGAAAAAAAAAUAAAAUAGAAAGUAACUGUAAAUUAAGUUAAUAAAAUUGAACCAGCUUUUCCAUAGUACAGUGUUCCAUUAUCACAAAUCAUGGAUUUUUUUGGACAUUUUUUUUUUUUGGUACCAUUAUAGAAUCGUUGAGGUUUUAUUUUAAUACCAUUUUCAAUUAUUUAUUAUUUUACCCCUACUCGUGUUUCUCUAUUCAUCAAGCAAGUAAGUUACACUUUUCUUCUUUUUCUACUCCUCUUUCAUUGCGACACAGGUAUUAUUAACUUUUGAUUUUCAAAUUGACUUAUAGAUAAAUUUGCCAUCUAAAAACGGAUAAUAUGAGAUCUAUUACAACUCGCUGUUAUCCUUUAUAAACGUAAACCCGAUAUUGCAUGGUAUCAAAAUGUAUGGACGAAUAAUCUCUAUUCGAUUUUGUGUUAAUAAGGUAAUGGGAAGGUGGUAUAUGGUGAGUUCUCUUAUUUUAAAAUCAAAAGUAUAUUAUACUAAUUUAAGGUAUUAUAAUAACGAGUAAAAAUAAAAAAUUAUGUUACAUAAAGGUUAAACGAUUUCAUGUAAUAAUAUUGAAAACUAAAAAUAUAUGUAUGUAUAAUACCUGUAUAUUCUAAUUGAUUUAAAAAUACAUUUUCCGGGAAACAGUUCACUCUGUAUAAAUGUGAUUUUUGACUGUUCAUUUUUUUUCCCCUGGAGCAUUUAGAUGGUGACGUUAAAACAUAACGUAUAUCAUAAUAUAUCGAAUAAAACUACGCAGUUUAUUAUGUAGUAAUAAAAUAAUGGUAUGUGCGCAGCAUCAUUAAUUAACCAACGACCACCGCGUGCAAUAAGACACAUAGAAGAUUAGGUAUAAAUAUUAAAACGAAAAAAAAAAAUGUAACGUUUCUAUUCCAAGAGUUCUCUAAUUCUUGCAUCACAGCAGUGCGAUUAUUAUGUCGCCACCGCCCGGACAGCAUAAAACCAGUAACUUUUUUUUUUUAUAGCUUCGUUGCGGGAGAUUACAAUAAAAAAUUUACGAUAUUAAAUUAUUAUAUAAUAUAAAACACCCAUAAAAUGUCGUUAUACAUGCAAUAGUAGUAGUGAACGAUACGACACGCAACUAAUGAAACAAUUUCGAAAAUCGAUAACGAGGAAUAAUAUUUUGACGAUGACCUAUUCGAUUUUGAGUGAAGCUAGUAAUGUAUUGGUUUCACUGCAUGUUUUUUUUUUUGUCUCUUCACAACUUUUUCUAACAGAAAUUCCACUCUAAUCAAAAACUGUACAUGAACUUUUUAGUAGAAUUUUUGAUCCAAUUGGUGCAUCGAGGUCAUUUUGUUAAAUUUUCCCCAAAAAUAGAGACUAUUGCGUUAUACUGCAUCUUCAAUAUAUUAUAUAAUUUCCCCAGUACUUAGGAACGUUUUCAAGCGGCUCACUCAGGACCAAAUGAGCUCAAACUUGAAAACUAAAGUGUUUUUGUCAGAUAAAAAGGGAAAUGUUAAGCUUUUUAACACCUCUUCUGAUCCCUCCCCCCAAAUGAAGCCCGAGGGAUGCAGGUUGUUUAUUAAUUUAUCUUGUCGUUUUCUGGAUAUUGGAAAAACGGACAAUUUUUGUUUUUUUUUCAGGCAACAUUGGGGAAAGAAUACAGUUCAUAAUGUUUCCAUAAUAGUUUUUUCUUAGCCAUGAUUUAUCGUCGAGUACAGAUAUAAAUUUUAUUACUCAUCUUUUUUAACUUCCCUCCCGAAGCAGUGGCACACCCAUUAGCAGUAACAGCCUUUUUUAAAAAAAUGUAUUUAUUUAUUUUUUUUUUUACAAUUUAACUAUAGUUGAACCAUUCAGAAAAAAAAAUAUACGUACACAUUCUUUACAUUCGGAACGGACCGCGCAACAUAACAAUAAUAGGUAACAUAUUUUCCCGUGCUGCAGCAAUUUUUAAAUACGCUAAAGUUUUCCCAUUACUUUACUAUAAUAGUAUAUUAUACUAGGUACGACCCGUGGUGUACUUUGAUUUUAGUGAGUCGAUUUAUCUUUUUUUUUUUUUUCUUUGUAGAACUUCGUUUUACCUUGUCGUGCUUAAUCGGAAUAUACGUAUUAUUAUUAUUAUUUUUUUUUAAUAAACUGCAGUGUAUUAUAUUUCUGUUUUAUUAUUAUUCGUAGUAGUGUAUACUAUAUUUACACCCGUAGCCGCACUAUAUUGUAAGUAAUGAGUUAGAACACACUUCGAAAAUUUAUAUGCAUAUGAAGGUGUAGGUAUUAUAGAUGUAUUAUAGGUGUACGUAUCUAUAUACGUACGGAAUUCUCAACAACUAGAAAUUGGAUUCGAUUGUUUCUUGUAAAACAUCACAACUUUGACGAUUAAUAUUUAUUAUUAUUUUCGUUUUUGAAUUAAACUAUCGUAUUCGAAAAUCCCAUAAGAAUAUGUUUAAAACAAUAUUACAUUUACCCGAGUUGAUUGAAAUUUGUUUUAAUAAUAAUUUUCGAAAUUUCGGUCGUCUCGCUUGAACAUCUUUGUUUUUAAGUUCAAAAAUAUCAACUGCGACCUUUUUAUUCUCAUUUAAUGCGUACCUAUUAUACACGCGACGGUAAAAACUGUUUUUUUUUUUUUAUUUUAACAUUUUAAUGAAGUAAAUUUAACGAAAUCUUUGUAAAAAUUAAAAAAAAAAAAAACAAUUGAAUAUAUGGACCAAAGUUCUUCCGUUUCCGACGGAGUUUUUUAUUUUUUUAUUUUUGAAAUUCUUAAUAUAGUGUUUUAAAUUAAACGAGUACCUAAUUAAAGUUCUAUUUUUUUUUCAUCCACUUCUAGAACAUUUGUUUUGUUUACAUUAUAAUGUUGCUAUGUACGCUUAAGAAUUUUCGCUAAAGGUCGAAUAGUAUACAAUAUAUCUAUAUACGUAUAUUUUAUUUUUUUAUAGCAAAGCGCGGCCAUUGAUGCAGUUUCUUCUAUCAGAAAAAAAAAGUUCGAGCGAUAUUCAGCAGGGAUAAUUAUUCUUUCGAUAUAUCUACUCGAGUAUCCGACAAUAUAAUAAUAUGACGUAUAUAAUUAAGGAGCUAAAGGGACUUUUUUUUUUUUCAUUUUAUCCUAUCUAAUAUAUACACAUAUAGUUCUUCGUUUUCUCGUUAGAUAUACCUAUUAUUAUAUAGAUUAGACAAUUUUAUAUGGAUAUAUUUUUUUUUUCACUUUGAGGCACAUUUUCUCGUGUAUAUAUCGACCGAAUUUCGUUCUGAUGCACCAUCGCCCUUCCUCCUCCCAUUCACUGGUUGUCCAACAACCCGGCAUAUCACCGCCGCGGGGAUCUGAAAAAAUACAUCAAAUCGCCAUUAACUCCGGCCUGGGUCUCUCCUAUUAUAUACUUGCGACUGCCGAUCUCCAAAUUUUCAUUUUUAUCGAUCAUUACCGUACGAGAGCUGAUUAUUAUACCGUGAAUAUUAAUAUUAUUGCUUUCGAAAACAACGCACUAUUAUAAUGAUUUUUUUUUUUAUCUGAAACGUUGCAUUUUUUUUAAAAACAAAUUUCGUCUAGAUGGUGCAUUGGAGAGGUCAUUUUAUGAUUCAAUUUUUAUUUUUUGACAUGACCGUAAAAAAAAAUUGGUGAAAAAUUCACUCUUUUUUUUUGAUAAUCGAAAAAAGGCUAUCGUAUAUAUUAUGACACUCAUUGUAUAAACUACAAAGUACUUUCGUACUAUUCCAAGUAAUCAAUAAAUAAUCAUAAUAUAUUAAUGACACGAUUUUUUCCGGUUUUGAUUAUUUCGAAUAUUUUAACAUGGUCACGUUUUAAUGACAUUUUUGAUUAAACUAUAUAGCUAUCUAUAAUAAUUUGUGAUAUUAAAAAUAUCGGACGCAACAACAAAUCUAACCGCGGAGUUAAAUAAUAAUUAUACGCAACGAUCCAUAUUGCAGUUACUGCACAAGCUAUAUAAUAAUAAUAUUGUUAAACGUGGAUUAUGAUACAGUAAAAUGUCUGAAUAGCGGAAACUCUCGACUAUCAAAUUUUGUCCGUUAUUAGAAGGUUUCCUCUGUUCAAAGGGGGUAUAUUUUCGAAAUUCAUAAAAGGUGAAUUUAGUAAAAGGAAAAAAUAUACGCUAAGGUAAAUUUAAUUAAAUAUAAAUACGUAAAAUAAUACAAAAAACCGGACAUUUUUUGCACGAUGGGCCACUGUUAUAGUAUAGAAUUUGGGAAGGUAGAAGGUAUAGAGAGGAAUUUAAUUUAUAUUUAUAUACUACGAUAAACCAUUGCUAACAAAAAAAUAUUUGAAGCGAAGUUUCUUUUAUACAAAUACGCGUAAAUUUUGAAAUUUUUCCUACGUUUUUCCCAAUUAUUACGAAAACCGCUAGGCAAAUCAAAAAUUAAUCACUAGAUACAAUUUCUUUGCAGAAAAGAUGCUACAAAAGAUACUUGAAAAUCGGAGCUGGAUUUCUGGUGGAAAAGUUCUUUACAAAUAAAAAUAAAAAUAAAUAUCAUUGUAAAACCAAUAUAUUCAUCGCUAUGCUCCAAAUCUAAAAAUAAAUGCAUACAUUUAUCACAUAUAAAUAUAUAUAUAUAUAUACAUAAAAUUCAAUUUUUCGUGAAAAAUCUAUCAAUUUGGUCUGUUUAUAAUUUCUGUACAGGCUCAUUAGUAAGUCAAUAUUCCAAAGUUACAAUAGAAAAGAAAAUAACACUGUUUUCUUCCUCUAAUUAAGAAACGAAGUGACCUACCGUCUUUUACGUCCUAGGGUUCCGUUGUUUUGACAAGGGUCUAAAAUUUCAAUUUAUAUGAAUGUAUGUUACAUUACAAUUUUCGGGAUACUAUUUUUUACAAAAUUAAUGUGUUGAAAAUUUUAAAAAGUAAAAUAAAAAAAUAUUUUUUCAGUGGACGAUUAAGAGAUAAAAAUAAAAAAAUUACUUUUUCUCUAACAUGCCCCUUAAACAAAACCCGAUUGAAAAAAAAAUGUAUAAAAAAAGAAUAAAUAUGUCCAGAGUUAUAAGUAUAAGGAGAAAACUCUAAGAUACUCUGUGUAUUUAAAGAAAAAAAAAAACUAUUCCCGCAUCGGUGAAUAAUACGAUACAAACUUAAUAGUUUUUAAAACGUAUAAAUUUGAUAACAUUAUUCUAAUCGGUGUGAUAAAAUCAAGUGGUACGACGAAUGAAAUACGAGGUUUUUAUUAGUGUUUUAUUUUACCGUGCAUGACUGCACAUGUUAUGUAUAAUAAUUUAAAUCAACACGUUCAAUUAAAUUUUAUAUUAAAACUAGCGGAUAAAAAUAUACGUCAAACGGUUUUCUAAUAUUAUUAUUAUUAUUAUUUUUUUAUUUCAAAACUUUGUUCCAUAGCUGCAUGUGAGAUCUUCGUUAAAAUUGAAAUUUUAUUCUCGUUUCAACAGCAGUUUGAAUUUUCGUAAUUGUUCUAAAUUGAAGUACGCGAACCGAUGUUGAAAUUGGAAAAACUGUUAAAGUUACAGAACGGUUUUAGAUUAUGGGAGUAGCAUAAUUACUAUAAUAUAAUGUGUAUUUUAUUUUCUGUCUGUGAACCGCUUUUCAAAAUUGUCUAUAUCUGAUCAUUAAGUGUAGUACUUAUUCUUAAAGCAAUGUUCAUCUAGUUUAUGCAUUGAGAAAGUAAUUUGUUGAUUAUUUCCUUACAGUUUUCUUAACAAUUAGGACAGCCCGGGAAAAAUACAGGAAAGUCUACUCAAUAAUGGUUUUUUUUUUUCAAGGGUUUAUUUUUAUAGUUGUUGCUAUAUGUGAAAAAUAACCAUACAAACAUGAAACUUGCGCAGAAUACUUAUAAUACCCUUUCUUGACUAUUUUUAAGCUUUUUAUAGCCAUUUGAAAUGUUCGUGGUUGCAUUAAGUUUUCUAUUUGGUUUAUUAUUUGGAAAAAAUCGUUUUACCCGGUAAAUAUGUUCAGAAAUUGAACAUGAUGUUUAUCAUAUUAUGUUGUGCUUAGUGGUUAAAAAAAAAAAAAAAAAAAAAAAUGAGCGCAAUAUAAUUUAACUAUGUUUUAUAAGCGUGUAAACUUCAAACUUUAAUGAAAAUCUUUAAGAUUGACGGCAUUUCAAAUCACGUUUAACCGAACAUCUUACACAAUCGUUUUUCGUUUGCAAAAAUUUAUCGUUUUUGCCUGCAGAUUUAUGAAUUAAUAAAUUGCUUUUUAAAUGUAUAUAUAUAUAAACCACACUCUGUCUACUAAAAUAACGGCAAACCAAAUAGCAGUAUCGGCUCUUUUUGUUUUUUUGUUCUGUAUUCCAAUAACAAACAAUAUAUAUUAUUUUUAAUUGUACAGGUUUACCUACAACCGACCGAUAUACGGCUGCAGGUAUACCUACUGUUUAUGCAGACUUAAAAUAAAUUAAAGUUUAUAUUAAUUAUUUGUCUUGGAAACUUUAUCACCCCGCCGCUGUAGAUAUAGACGUAUACGCAAAUUCAAUUUCCACUUGAAAAUAAUCGUAUAUAAUUUCGUUUCGACUUACGAGUUUUGUCGGGUAGUUAUAAUUUCGUUUCGGGAGACGUUUUACCGGGCGCCAGUGCAGCGCGAGCGCCUUAAUAAGAUUUAACAAUCAGUUUACUUAAGUAUUAUUAUAAUUAUUAUUAUUGUUAUUAUUAUAUAUUAGGAUUGAGUUGUUUGAGUUAAUAUUAUAAUAAAAUAUAAAUCUUGUCGGUAAAUAUCGAACCCCAACCGUAUAGAAUCGUGUGCAUAGAGUGAGAACUUUGUGGGCGCAGCCGCCGGCCGAGACGAUUAGAUCGAUUGAAACGGUGUUAUAAAUUGAGUUUAAUAAAAUGAAACUUCCGUUGACAGUCUCCUCUCGUGGCGUACAUUGGUAAUUUUUGUUAAAUGUUUUCUCAGAAAUAGAGACUAUUGCUCUACAUAGAUUCUGUUAUAAAUACUUUUACAUAUCUUCACCGUUACUUUGGGAUAUCAUUAGCGACUCCCUCUAGACAAAAUGAGCUCAAACUCAAUAAAUAUAGUUCUUUUGUAGGCGGAUGAAAGUGAUUAAAUUAUAGUUAAAUUUUAACAUAAAUUGCACCGUGUUGCAUGAAGAUGAUAUUUUUCGGCUUUCUACGCCCCUACAGACCCCCCAAAUGAGAUUAAGAUAAACUUUCAUAUUUACACGGUUUAAUUAUCCUAGGAUUAACAUUUUUAGAGCUUUUACUUUCAAUGCUCUCCGCGAUCAUUUGCUUACUUAAAUUUCAUGUUUUCACACGAAAUACACAGGUAAAUUAAGUUUAAUUCUGACAAACAAUAUUAUUUUAGAUUAAUUAUCAAUAAAAUAUUGUAACGGAGCUUUGUUGUUCAUUGAUGUUUGUUUUUUUUAUUUGGUUUCAACAAUGUCUAAAAAAGUCUUGUAAAGUAUUUUAGGUGAAAUACAUUACGAUUUCUCCGGAUACUUUAAAUAAUUAGGUCAUAGAAGAAACCGGAAAUAGAUGUACCUAACAAAUAUUAAAGUAUAUUUUUAAACCAAUUUCAAAAAAGAACGGACAUACUCCGCACGUGGGAAGAUAGGAAACAGACGAGAAUUUACAGUAUAUCUUUAAGCAACGAUAAACCAUUGCUAACUAAUUUAAUAAUUACACUCUACAUAAGCGAUCAUCUAAAAACAAAGUACGAUAAUUAUUUCUGGCCCCUUUGUUUAGUGUAGCACUCAUCAUUUUUAAUAGGGAAGGUCACAGCUUAACUAAAGAUUCUACACAAAAAAAAAAAAUUCUUAGCAAAUAUGUUUUUGCAUACCUAGUACAUUAUUAUUUGUACUUAUAGUUAAAUAAACUGUGCCUAUGUGCAUUAGUAAUAAGUUUUCAGUGCUAAAUAAUUUAUAUUAUUGUUUUCACAUUUAAUGCAAUCAAUGUGAGGGACUGAAGUCCCUUAAGCUCAUAAGGGGCUAAAUCUACACUGCCCUCGGUGCCCGUCAAACAGAAGUUCUAUUAGUGUAAUAAUAAUACAACAAACUGUGCGGGAUUUAGAGCAUUUUGGCGGUAUGAAAAUAUAUUAUUAAAUAAAUAUAGUGACUGUAGCAGUAGCACACAGCGGAAGCUCCGCAAACGGAGUUCCGAUAAAAACCAUUUCCGCGACAACGACGCGGAUCGAACGAAAAUUCGCCAAUUUCGUCAAACGACCUCCCACGUCGACGACGUUGUCAGCGACAAGAGCGUGGUGUUUUUUUUUUAGUCUCGAGUAACGAAAAAAUAUGUAUAAAAAAUCUAUCGGAACCGGAAAACGCGCUCGCACACGCACAUCCGAUCGCCGAAAAACCAAAAAAAAAAAAAAACCGCGUUAUAUUCACUAUAAAAUGUAUUCAAUUAUUAUGAAUAAUAAUAAUUUGCCUAGGAAAUUGAAUAAAAAGAAUCGAAAACGGGCGAAAUAGACACGGAAACAAAUUAUAAAAUGCAAUACAUAGAUUUACUAAUUAAAAAUUAAUCGUAUUGUCCCACUGGUCUUUUCCCCAUUCGGACGUUAUUAAUUGGUGUACUGUGCCAUGUAUAAUAUCCAUCGUAUUGCACGUAACCCAGACAUCUGAUAACCAAAAAAGGGUAUCCGGGGUUAAAUAAAAUACAUUAUUUUUAUGGAUUUUUUUUUCCACGAAAUCGGGUUUAUCACACGUGCAUCGUAAUUAUUAUAAUAAAUAGUAUCAGCCAUAAUGUAUAGAUAUAAGGCCGUGUGUACUAUCUAUGAUUAUAUUCAUGAUGUAUCAUUGAUGCUUUUCGUAGGAGAAACUGGAUACGUUUCUUUUCUUCUCCCAGUUACUCAUUUUUUUUUUUCAUUAGAUGUUAUCUGAUUAAUUUUUAUUCUGCACUAUAGAUAUAAUAAUAGAUCCAAUAUUUUUCUCAGAAUCUAAUGUCAUAUUUGUUUUGUCAGAUAAAUGCGUUGAAUCAUAAAUCAAUUGUAUUAAAGAGAAAUUUGACACUUUCAAAAAAUUAUACUUGUCGCGUUGGUUAGAUUAGGUUUGCAUCGAGGCAAAACAAAUAUUUUUGUGAAGAUUCAAGAGUUCCAAUAUAAAAUUUGAAAGUGAUUUUUUUAUUGUUUUAAUAGUUUUCUUUCAAGUGCUUAUUUCAGUAUUUAUAGAACGUUUAAACCUUUUAGUUACUGAAAAAGCUGCUAAAUACAUCGUAUAAUGAUUUUUUUUAAUGGCUCUCAUUUUUGUUGAUUUUAAGUGAUAUAAGCCCCGAAACCUGAUUAUAACUUAUGAACUUCUACUAUUCUUUAUAUAAUAUUCUCUCAUAAUAUAUUAUCUUCUGCUAUUUAUAUAUGUAUGUUGUACACAUAUAUACAAUAAUUCUGAACCCUAAUAAUUUGUACUAUUUUUUUUCUUUACUGAACUUCUCGGUUUAUCCCUGUUUAAAGCGUCAAUUAGUCUUAUACUAACUUAUCAACCACUAUCACCCUAUCUGUGGACAUCGUUGUCGAGGAUUUCCACGUUACCGUUUUUAAUGAGUCUGUGUUAAGCUCGUCACACAAAUCCAACCCACUCCAGUCACUUAGAAUACCUAAUACAUGUUUGAAAUUAGGAUUAUUAUGUACAGCUGCUCAAGAUUUGUAUGUUUUUUCUUCAUUUAUAUUUGUAUGGAUUUCCGUUUCUUAUGUAGGUCUAUUUAUCCCGCUUAAUAUAAUAUAUACAAAAGCUUAUUUUAAUUGGCGGAUGGAUAUUUGUAUGUUUGUUACCAUUUAUCGCCUAAAUUACUGAACGGAUUGAAUUUUGAUUGUAUGUAGUUCUAGACCAGAAAUAAUAUACAAGCUUCAUUUUUAUAUCCCAUAUUUAUACUCUAUAAAAGGUGUGAUAUAGAGUUAUUGGUAUUUUUAGUAUAAAAAUACAAUAAUUUGUAUUGAUUUAUGGAUUACCUUGGUAAUACAGAUGGAAUAAAUAAAUUUAAAAAAAACAUGAUAAAAAAAAUAACGGGGAAAUACUUCUCACGUGGGUGCAGCUCCUUUUAUCGUUGGGAAGUUAUGAAGGUAGUAUACCGACGGGAAUUUAAUGUAUAUCUGUAAGCAACAAUAAACUAUUGAUAACGAAAAAACGAUUCUAAGCGGAGUUCAAUUAAUAGUAUUGCUUUGUAAACAAUAUAACAUGACAAAAGUGAUUGUUUAAAAAAAGAUUUAAAAUAAUAAAACCUUAAUAAUAACAAAAAAUUAAUAAAAACGGUACCAAUAAUCUUAUUUAUUUUUAAUAUUUCAAUAUUUUUUAAUCUAAAGAACCAGGUUUUACUCAUUAUCUCGAAUACUAAUGAAAAUUUUUAAAAAAUGAUCUCUUUAAAGUACCACCCAGAGAACAUUUCCUUUUAGAAAAGGUGCUAUAUUUGAUAAUCGGAGUAUGCUUUCUGGUAGAAAAGAGGUUUAUAUAUAUAUGUAUAAAAAAAAAAAAAAUAAUCAUUAAAAAACUAAUUUUAUCCUCACUUCACUCAGAAUUUAAAAUAAAUAAUAAGGUAAUCCGUAAAAAUCCGUAAUAUUGUUGUCGCGAGGAUACCCACAACGAUCAGUAGUUACCAUAGACUGGUUAACUUAAUUUAUUGUUUGAUUGUUAGUAAUUAUAUCUAAACCUCAUUUGAAGUAUGGCCAAAACAGGGAAAGACGCUUUUAUUCGUUUACAAAAUGUUCGUUCAAUACCUACACAGGGAAAAUUGUACGGGAUCGCUAGUCUUUCAUAAACACUAUUCUUUCAAUAUAAUUUGUAAUUGUUCCACGUCUCUCGUUGUAUGGUUGCAGAUCACGUUUCACAGGCGGACAUGAUAAUAAUUAGUCAGUGAUAACACUCGCGUAAAUAAUGGUUUUUCUUUAGUUUUCCACGAUGACAUUCUGAAACUAAACAUGGAGUCCUAAUAAUAAUAAUAAUAAUACUAAAUAUAUACAAGGGGCUUGAGGCGCGUAAUAUUUUUAAUCCGUCACUAAUCCUUUGCACGUGUGAGCAGAGUGCGUUCGCGGACGACGACGACGCCUCGCAAGAUAAUUUAUGAUGAAUACGCACACUUAUGUCGCGGAGUAUGUAUGUCUGCUCGAUGAACCGUCGUCGGCGUCGUGUUUAUAUACAGAGUGAUCAACAUGACGAUAGGCAUUCAUUAAUCCUGAAAGUAUUAACUUUAUUCGACGUUUCUUUUUUAGAAUAUUUUAAGAAACAAGCCACUAUAAAAUGUGUACAUUAUUACCAUACAUUUUUUUGUCAUCUUUAUAUUUGGGUAUGAAUCCACUUCUCAAAUACCUAGUAACGUGUAUUUAAACUUUCAUCGUAAAUAUACGAAGUCUUGGUUUGAAUACAUAAAAUACAUAUUGGUAUUGAAAUCUGAAAUUUCCGUCAACACGUCGACGAGAUAUUCGUCACUUGUAAGUUCGGUUAUAGAAGGAAAGUAGUGGACCAUCAUUUGUGCGGUUGUGCGGCUCGCGGCGUUCGUAUAGUGCUGCACUACGUAAACUUAAAAGUGGAAUAUCUCGUCAACGAGUCGACAGAAAUUAAAAAUGUCAACGCCAUAAUAUGUAUUGGAGCUAUUGUGGAACGUUGAGUAUAAGUUUGCUAUUCGAAAAUCAAAAGUGGGUAGGUUUAUGGAAGUUUCGCCACUCAAAAGUAACGGUGACGAAAAAUAACCGAAUUCCGAAAAAAGUUCAAAUUGGUUCCGAGAUAAUGGCUUUUUUACGUUAUCAUACGUGGUUCGCCCUGUAUUUUGUUCACAAAAAUACCGUGUCGAUCUCGACGGAGCCUCGCGGUCGUCCGUUGAGUUCCCGUCUCCGGCCGGCGGCGGCGGCGGCGGAACAGUCACCUCGGCGUACAGUAAGUUACGCUCCGAUGCCGCCGACGAGACUUUGCGCCCGAGAAACACAUGGCGGCUGUGACGGCGAAUCCCCGAAACGAAACGAAAAUAAUAAUAACAGUAAAAAAUAACGCCGGUCGAGUAUAUAAUAUUAUAAUGGUAUUCUAUUUUUUUUUUUCUCCCCGAACCAAUUAUGCGGCCGUACAUAUAUACCCAAAUGUCAUAUUUUUAAGUUUAUUUUUUUUUUCCGGACAAAAGUGUAUAAUAUUAUACCUAUUAUAAUAUUUUCGUCUGGCACGAUGGCGUUUCGGGAGGACAAAAAAUGUUUAACGGCGGCGGCGUAGUAUAGUACGAUUAUAAUGAUUUUUUUUUUUCCCCACUAUAUAAUAUAUCGUUAAGUCCGCUUCGUCGAUUUUUGUUCCAGUUUUUUUUUUUUUUUUUCGAAUUCCGUCUCAUUAUAUUAUUAUACGUUUUAUAGUUUAUGGCGCAAUUACUUUUGCCACCGCGCACAAUACGAGCCGUCGUCGUUAUUAUUAUCAAGGGAAACUAACUAUAUAGGUAUACCAAUAAUCGCAUUAUUGAUAAUGCAUGAAAUCUGGCUUUUAUGCGGAAACUAAAAAAAAAAAAAAAAAAUAUAGGUAUUAAUGAAUAAUAAAUUAUAGACAGUGUUCGAUCGGACAGUUUUAAAUCACUAAAAUAUGAUUAUUCAAUUCUUUUUCGUGAAUCAGCGAUUGUCUAUGAACUACAUGCGGGUAUUCAUUCACGAAGAUUUUUAGGUUCCCGUUUAAGAUAUUAUUUUCGAAAAUGUUAGGCUUAUUCCGAAAAUGCAACGUAGUAUUUUAAGCACAGUAUAAAGAUACGUUUUCAAGUAUGUAAAUAGAUGUACGAAAUAAUAGAGAGAUUGCUACAGAACAAUUAUCUAGAUAAUUCUAAACAAACAGGAUCAUUUAUUUAGAUAAAAACAAAAAUAAUUUUGUUCGUUUCCCUAAUCGUGGAACAAAGUUCUAAAAGUAUAUCUAAUAAAAGUGCGUACAAUAUUUGGUACACGUUUUGAUUUCGAAUUCGAGUUGUGUUACGUAUCUUAAUAGAUACUCGAUUAGUUUGUUAAACCAUAUUAAUAUUAAUUAAAUAUUUUACCUAUUUUUUCUAACAAAUAUAUCAAUUACGAUUUAAAAAUAUUUAUGCAGACGGUUCGAUUAUUUGUCUCAGGUAAAGACUCAGUUAACUAACUUCUCAUUUAUCUAUAGUUCGGCGUCGCCGCAAAAACAUUUACGGGCACGGCACUGGUAGUAAAUAAUUCGCGUCUCGAGGAAUCCCAACUCUGACCCAACCACAGUUUGUCAACAAUUAACCGAAAAUAUACAAGGGCGUAGGGAGAAUUCGUGGGUGUGGAACUCUUUCAUGGGUUAGCCCUUGGGUUGUCCGCGGAACACACUUUGGGAACUGCUGGAAAAAAAAUACAAAUAUACCUGUCUACAAAAAAAAAAAAAAAAACACAACACUGCAUAUUAUCAUAAAUCAUUUUUUCGGAUUUUCAUACACCGACCAUCAACAAACGAUUCUAAAUUACGUAUUAUUCUAACGUCUGGGUUUGAAAAAUAACGUAGAAUAACGUGAAUGUAAUAUAAUUGUAUUGAUAUAAUCUCUAGCUCGAGGGUGCCCAAAAAUAUCAACAACAGAACCGUCACUUAUCGUAUAAUUUUGAUGUUAUUUUAGGACUAAACAACCGCGUUGAACAAUACAUUAUGGAAAGUCAUAUUCUUCGUGCCGAUGACAAUGAUAUUAUUAUCAUCAAAUAUGCGUUCAAACUCUUCAAUCUCAUAACGCAUACCGUGUGUAUAAUGCAUCGAAAAAUAAAUAUUAUUUACAAACAAAUCCGUCUGCCUCCCGGCAAUCGGUUUGUCGAUAAUAUGAUAAUACAAUCCGUUCCGUGGAAAUAAUAAACCGGUUUAUGAAUAUAAUAACAAAUAAUCGUGUUCGCGAAUCCCUCUCCUAAUACGACACGAAAUACUAUAAUAUUUUACACAUGUCUGCAGUAAAUAUUUUCCGUAAGAAGAACCUAUCGGUUUUACUGACGUGUGUUUUAUUUAUCAUUAUUUUUUAUUUUCAUCGGAAAACAUUUUUUCCUCAAAAAACGUGCGGUUCCCGUUUGACGGAAUUUUAUUCAAACAUAUUUUCGAAGUUCUUAACUUAAGCUCAUCGCUUAGAUCAUUUGGUCGUUUCUUUUUUCUUUCGGAAAUCACUUGGUCGCACGCAGAAGUGUCUACCUGAAAAGACGUUGAAUAAUCGUCCGGUGAUAUUUAUUGUUUGAACAAUUUGUGUCCGUAUACCAAAUAGUUUUACUGAAACAUAGAAAAAAAAAAAACUGUCAACAAAACGAAACGGUUACGAUAGGUUUUAUUUUUGUUUACUUCCGGGUUACCUUUGUGGCCACAGUAGUAGAAAAAAUACGACUAUAACACUACUCGGCUCAACAUUGUUUCUCGAUUGCAAUGAUUUAUCGUUGCUAUAAGUAUAUCAUACAUUUGAAUAAUACGAUACCAUAUCCUAUACAUACAUACAUAUACAACCUGCAAUGGCCUUGCCGAAGUACCCAAAUAAAAGUACAUGACUAAAGUACGUGAAAUACUCGUAUACUACGACGAUGCUGACGAAUAAUCGUCGGUAUAUUAUAUUAGAGUGAAAUAUUCGAGAAAAUCGAAUUGAAUAUAAUAUUUUUGUCUCAUACGUACAGAGUGUGCAUGUAAGUGUAUGUAUAAAUAUUUAAUAUUGUAUAUUUUGAAAAUUCACACAGAAACGCACCGCGCCACGACAAGCCAUUAUCGAAUCAUGUAUUAUUUUAUACGAAUAUUGUCUUUGUUUAAGAAGAUGAAAAACCGCACAGAAACGUUUUAGUUUGAUGUUCGAGUUUGUUAACACUCGAACAAUAAAUACAUAAAUACAUUAUAUAGGCGGGAAUUUGGUCACGUGUUUGUUGGAGGAAGGCUUUUCAUUUUUACCUAUAUUACCCUGCCCAUUCACAAAGUCAUUUCGCAUCGACCUAUUGCUUGUCUUUUUCUAACUGUAACUUGAGACUUUAUCAUUAAUACAGUCAUCAUUGCAUUAUUAUUUUGUUAACUUUCACUGUAAGUAUAUCUAUAAAAGUAAACUCUUACGAAGAAAAUGAUUGGCAAAUUAAUUAAAAAGGUGUUGCGAAAAGAAACCUUCCACAGCUUAAAAACAUUCUGAAUGGGAGCUUAAGUCUCUUUCCUAAUAUAUCCGUCCAUGUAGAUAUUAUAUGGAAAUACAACUCAAAAUAAUUAUGUUGAUGAUUUUUUUUUUCCCAUCAUUUCGAUAUCAGAGGUCACGGGAUUUUUUUAGCGUUUCGUCCCAUCAUCCUCGUCGUAAUAAUAAUUUACUGACCUAUCCGAAAUGUCGAAGAGGAAAAAUCAGAUUUCAAUUACGAUAUACGUAUGUAUAGGCAACGAAACGGCUAAAAUCGAACGCCACGUAGCUAUACGUAUUAUAUGUACGCGUACGAAAAUAAUAAUAAUAAUAAUAAUUUUAAAAACUUUUUUAAUAUCGGGCAGCUGUAAAAAACGUACAUACGUAUAUAAAAACUUCAAUUCUGCGCGUUGCCCUAAAUACUACUACCGUAACGGCGGCCCGCGGGCCCACACGGGGAAAAGGCGUUUCGUGUUUUUUUUUUUGUUGUUUCCUCCCCUCCUCGGCUUCAAUCGUGUCGGAGAAAUAAAAAACAAUUUUCACGCACGCGUUCCGCCGCUAUUAUACGCGCAUACCGUAGAAAUUAUGGUUUGCAUGUGUUUUUUUUUUUCUGUUCCCAAAUGUUGUUGAUUAUUACGAGAUUUAUAAAAUAUACAUAAAUACGCGUUCGUUACGCCGCACUUUACCGCCGUUGUAAAUUUCCGGGGCCGAUAUAAUUUGAUAUAUUUUUAUGUCGAAUUUGUUGUGGCUUUUUUCAUUCGGGUGCCUAAUCCGGGUAUAAAAUGUUAUUAUUCAUUUAUAAUAUUAUGCCGAUAUACCCACUUCAAUUAUUCCCGUUUAUAUUUUUCUUUCGGAAUUUUAUCAGAUUAAUCAUAUAGGCGUGCUUGCUAACUAGGUAUACCCUGUAUAAACGCGAGGCGAAAAUGCGUAAAACUGAAACACUAAUAAAAACCACAAAAAAAAAUAAUAAUAAUAAUAAUAAUAAUAAUAAAUAAAAAAAAAAACCCCUCAUAAAACACCGUAUCAUAUACGAUGACGUCAUUUCUUUACAAUAGGUAUAUUGCAGCUAUAGUUUAUGCCGGUUACUAGUGGUCCGGUCUUUUAUUUUAUAUUUUUUUAAUUAUAUAGUAUUAUAGUGUAUUAUCGUAUUACUACAUCUCAUUUCCUAUACAUAUGCAUAAUAUAAUAUAUUAAAUUUGUAUAGCGUAUAGGUACACGGGUAUAAUAUGUAAUUAUGAUUAUUGCUCCUCUCCGAAACGCAUCUGUUAUACUUCUAUACAUGCAUAUAUUAAAUUUUUCAAUUACAUUUUCUCUAAUUCUAUUAAUAUUGCCUGGACGUUUUUUACACCAUAUAGUGGUGAUAAUAUUAACGACACUAUGAAAACGAAAAAUACCGAGUACAUUUUUUCCCCGAAAUUAAUACUUAACGAUAGGGAUGGAUUCUCAUUACAUCGGUGAGAGUGUCAUUUCAAUAUAUUUAUAGGCCGUCGCAGUGCUAGGUAAAAAAUAUCAUGGGGGUGGAGAAUGUUUUUAUUAUUACCUACCUACUUUUUUUUAGCAUAAUUGAAUACACCAAAAUUUCGUAAAUAACGAAUUAAAAAAAAUAACAACCUCCCGUUAAGACCGGCGAAAAUUUUCGAAUUGGCCCACCGACGAGGAUUUCACUUGUCGAAAAAAAACUUCCUCCGUUUAUUCAUAUAGGUGUACUCCAGAAUUUCACGUACUUUCAAAGAAAUAGGUAUGCCUGUACGUCCUACAUAAUUAUUAUAUGUAUUUUCGUGGUGUUUAUUGUUUAAAUUUCACUCGAGAUAAAAACCGUCGUUAAGUAUCACGAAAAUUAAUCGGAAAAUAGGAAAAAUCGAAAUUUCGACUGCGGAUUGCUAUAAGCUUGUGUAAUCUGUGAGUGUAUAAAAAGCGAACAAAAUGUAUAAUAUAUUUAGUAGAUAUACCUGUCUAGAAAAAAUUUGUCAAUGCUUUGAAAUUUUUUUUUCUUAAAUCCAAUGGUUUGUAGAGAUCAACCAUCAAAAUAUUAUGUCCACGAGACUAAAAAUUAUAUCGGGCAAAUGCUCAAGUUGUACCCCUCCAAAUGACGCCAUUGACGAAUAUAUCAUUUAUUGAUUAACAAGACUCUUGUGACGGUACAAACUUAAAUAUUGUGUGAGACAACAGACAAUUAUUAUUUGAUUCGCUCGCCUAUUUAUAUUUAAACGCCGGAAAUAAAAUAAUUCGAGCUAAUUCCACUCGCCUUUUUAUGACUUUCGCA